This 84836-nucleotide long non-coding RNA is filed under the name Ananas comosus (pineapple). RNAcentral describes it as "long non-coding RNA (ACOM_LNC019403)". The record is from RNAcentral. Lineage: Eukaryota; Viridiplantae; Streptophyta; Magnoliopsida; Poales; Bromeliaceae.
AUUUUUUUUUUUUUUUUUAGAGAGAUAGGUAGUUUGCUAUCCGUUUUGUUUAUUUCAUUUAAAAAGAAACUUAGUUUGAAAUAUGAAUCAACUAGGAUUCAAACAUGGGAUCUCGAGUACCAACUACUAAAUCUUUUGCCACCUGCACUAGGGACGAAUUUCUCAGGCUGUAGGCUAAAAGGCCUUCUCCUAUUCUACAUCUUCUGAUAUUUUAGUAAGUUAUCCUUCUCACAUGUGAUUUUACAGUCAAGUCCUUCUUACUAAGGAAUUUGCAACUAGACCUAUACUGUAUAGAAUUUCACAAUAGACCGAUUCUUAAAAUUUUAUAAUAAAAUCCUUUCGAGUUUCAACACUACAAAUAUUCCCCCAUUUGAAUUAAUACUUUUCCUCGGAAAAUUUAUAAAGGAAUUUUGCUACGAGGUUUUUCUCACUCUUGAAAUUGCGAGACCAAAUAUAGUGAAUUUUACCGUGACGUCCUACGUUCAGUUUGGCUUGAAUUGAUUUUUUUUUUUUUUUUUUUUUUUUCCUUUGAUCUAAGUUUGACACAAUUCAAAAUUGCUUAAUAUUAAUCAAAUUUUCAUUCAAAAGCCGAUUGAAACUAAAACUAAAAUCAAGGGCGAACCUUGACCUUAUUUUAUGCCAAUUUCUUUUUAAAAAAUAAGUAUUUAGUUAAAACUUAAAUUCAAAUUUUGCAUAUUCAAAAUGAGAAUAUCAUAAUUAUAGAGACACUUUCAUAUAUCUUUUUAAAAUAAAUGAUUCCAGGAUGGACAAGUCAAGCAGGUGAGGUUGUAUUUUGCCACCCCUGACCAUAUAUAUAUUGUUCAUGAAGCACAAGUUCACCCUCUGCCAUACGCUUUGCACUAGNUCUCUCUCUCUCUCUCUCUCUCUCUCUCUAUAUAUAUAUAUAUAUAUAUAUAUAUAUAUAUAUAUUCCUCUAGAUAGAGAGAGAUUUGGUGAGGGAUAAAAGUCGACAACACCGAUGCCAUCGCGGGCCUUAUCGACGAUGUGUAUGAUAUAAUGGAGAGCGGUCGAAUGGCUCCAUCGAUUAUGCCCAUGGCAUUAGGAGAACAAACGCUACACGUUUUAAACUUUGGGAAAGAAUAAGCUAAAUUGGAAGGAUGCCUAAUUAAAAGCAUGGCAUUCUCGUUUUCUCCACUAUUACUCUAUUAAAUGAAAAAGUAAGUAGAUUACUCUAUUAAAUGAAAAGAUAAAUGCUAUUACUUUAUUAAAUGGGAAGGUGAGGAGAUUUUUUGAUUAAAUAGAAAGGUAAAUGAAGAUGAAAGGAUUAGUCUAUUAAAUAAGAAGGUAAAUGAGAAGGUGAAGAGACAAUACUAGGAGAUAAAUCGAAUACAUGAAAGGAAGUAUUUGGUAGAGGUGGGCCUAAUAUUCAAUAGAAAGAAUAGAGGAGGUGAUAAUAACACUGGUAGCUAGGUGGGUCCAAAUUCAUCAGAAUUCUGCCACGUUGGAUAGAAGCCACGGGAAUUAAUAGUUUUGUAUAGAUGUACAAGUUUUCUUCUUUAAACUAAGAUUAUUAUUUUUCUUGGUGGGAUUUACAUAGAAAUUUUCCCAUAUGGUGCUCCUACAAAAGGUGGAGCUUUUUCUAAGUUGUAUCAAAACUCUAUUUUAGUCCAAAUCUUUUAAAAUAAAAUUAAUAAUUUUUGAAUUUUGAAUAAUGUACAAAAGUAGCCUGUUCUAUUAUUUAAUGUUAAGUACAUAAAAUAGGAAGGUGGUACAUAAAAUUUGUUAUUAGAAGGUUUUUUUUUUUUUUUAGAGCGAUAGGUAGUAUGCUAGCCAAUUCGCUUAUUUCAUUUAAAAAGAAACUUAGUUUGAAAUAUGAAUCAACUAGGAUUCAAACAUAGAAUUUCGAGUACCAACUACUAAACCUUUUGCCACUUGUACUAGGGACGAAUUUCUCAGGCUGUAGGCUAAAAGGCCUUCUCCUAUUCUACAUCUUCUGAUAUUUUAGUAAUUUAUCCUUCUCACAUGUGAUUUUACAGUAAAGUCCUUCUUACUAAGGAAUUUGCAACUAGACCUAUACUGUAUAGAAUUUCACAAUAGACCGAUUCUUAAAAUUUUAUAAUAAAAUCCUUUCGAGUUUCAACACUACAAAUAUUCCCCCAUUUGAAUUAAUACUUUUCCUCGGAAAUUUUAUAAAGGAAUUUUGCUACGAGGUUUUUCUCUCUUGAAAUUGCGAACCAAAUAUAGUGAAUUUUACCGUGACGUCCUACGUUCAGUUUGGCUUGAAUUGAUUUUUUUUUUUUUUUUUCCUUUGAUCUAAGUUUGACACAAUUCAAAAUUACUUAAUAUUAAUCAAAUUUUCAUUCAAAAGCCGAUUGAAACUAAAACUAAAAUCGAGGGCGAACCUUGACCUUAUUUUAUGCCAAUUUUUUUUUUAAAAAUAAGUAUUUAGUUAAAACUUAAAUUCAAAUUUUGAAUAUUCAAAAUGAGAAUAUCAUAAUUAUAGACACACUUUCAUAUAUCUUUUUAAAAUAAAUGAUUCCAGGAUGGACAAGUCAAGCAGGUGAGGUUGCAUUUUGCCACCCCUAACCAUAUAUUGUUCAUGAAGCACAAGUUCACCCUCCGCCAUACGCUUUGCACUAGGGGUAAGCAUAAUCCGGUUCAAACCAAAUUACUGAACCAAAACGACCAAAAUCACUCGGUUCCGUUCGUGUUCGUGUCGGCUAAUUGGCUUCACAUAUAAUUCAGUUCAGUUUGCUUCUAAAAGUUAAAAAUCAAACACCGAACCGAACCAACCAAUGCACACCCCUACCAGGCAUGCGUAUGGAUGCGCAAUCACAUACACACUCAGUUCCGCCACUUUAUUUCAAGGGACAAUUUGAUUCAUACCCUAAAAAGUUUGAAAAUUUUACAAAUAUUCUUGCAAGUUCAAAUGUUCACGCGUGUUCAUUUGGAACUUUAAAUAGGUAUAUAUAUACUGUAGGUUCUUGGCACCGUCAUCUACUUCCAUAGGUAUAUAUACAGUAAGUUCUUGGCACUGCCAUGUACAUACACAGAAACAAACAGCCACAGAAACUAGCGAUGUUCCUCUCCAGUAAAAUAUCAGGAAUAAGAAACGAAAUUUUACGAAAAAAAUAUAUUACAUGAUACUCUAACAUGAAACAUGUGAAUUAGUUUACUGAACUAUUAAAAGAUUGUUUUUCGUCAUAUCCUCACCGACAGUAGGAAAUUCGGGAGACAGCUGCCACUCACCAUCAACCAAGAACUUAAUCUCGUACCUUCAUUUUCAGUAGCACGAAAAUAAAAGAGAAUAUAAAUAUAUCAAGUAUGAUUACUAACAAUCAUGAUCAAAAGAGAUACGAAGCAUCAGCAUACUUUCCAGGUCUGAGUUUCACGGUGGCAGAGAAUCUGGCAUAGUCGCCUGAAUAUUCCCGUGACAUUUCCUCUCCCUGACUCCAGCCAUCGAAGGAUCCCAUCACUUGCACGCUCUGAUGAUAACCGCAUAUGUAGUUUAUUUGUAAAAUAACUAAAAGAGAAAGAUAAAUAUGCUGAAAACUAUCUUCCCUUUCACCAAAUGAAGCCCCACGACUGUCUGGUGCUUUUAUCCAGGUUGAUAAAAUUUCGAGCUACCAGUUCAAAGUUCACAUUACAGAAGCGGACCUUUCAGAUGUAAGAUUUCAGUUAAUUAUUAGAAAUCCGGUUCCCGAUGUUUGACCAUGAUUUCAAGUUAGUUCUCAGUAGUCCAAAAUUUUUAAACAAUUUAGUCCUAGAAGUUUGUUUUGCAUAACAAAAAAUGUCUUUUCAGUUUAAACAAUUUAGUGUCAUGUCAGCAUCAUCAUUAGGUUUUCCUUUGAUUAAUUGAAACUCCAAACACUCUGAAAUAUUUUUUCCACAAAAAAUAAAAGAAAAAUCUCGAAAUGAAUUCAACAUUUUCAGGGUGAAGUCAAAACAAGGUCAAAUUUUAGGGACCAACUUGGAAUUGAUCUACGGGGGUUAAUAUUGCAGCUCUCUGAAGAUCAAAUUGAAAUAAGAGUCAAACUUCAGAGACAAAAUUGUUAAAACUCGAACUCUUUUAGUGAAGGUGACAUUAAGAUUAUAAUAUUAAAGCAACCAUAUAUGUUGACAGCAGUAUGUGAAAUUUAAUGUAGAAUAUUGAUUCUUAAAAAGUACUAGCUAAUCAAAGAAAAAGAGACAGCAAUUUGAUUAAGUUCAUUUUGGGAAUAGCUCAAGGAUAUUUGGUAGAGAUGACAAAAAAUCACACUAAGAAAACUGGCAACGGCAUACAGUUUAGCAACUCAUAAUGAAGACUUGUUCUUCUUAGAUCCGUCCCUACAACCCAGUAUCAUAAGUCGGAAACACUGAACAGGAUAUGAAUGCAUUUCCACACAAUAAAUAAUGCACAAAAUAAGAAUCAGCAGGUCAGCCUUUAAAAAAAAAAAAGAAUAAAAAAGAAAAUGUGCAAUUACUUGUACAAACGUAGGAGAGGUCAACACAAUGCAGUACAUUUGCUUAUUAGGUUGGCCAGUCAAGCAUGAGCUAGUUAUAGAUCUUUGGGCUUCGACAACUUAAGGAAUAGAGACUAUGCAAACAAGAACCGAAGAUUGGAAAUCUAUUGCUCUCAUUUCAUAUGUAUAUGAUUACAAUUAUUUAUAAGCUCAGUGUGUCUUACGAUGUUGCCAUACCCAGAUUUUUAGCUUACAUGACAAGUCGCUUUUAUUAUCACCAAGAAUGCUUUGAAUUCGAAGUAAUCAUUAAGGACUAGAAAAGAGUAGCAGCAUUGCCCACAAAUGAGAAAUCUAAAGAGAUUCCAUCAAUAUUUAUGGAACAUACCUAAAUUGCUAAUUUCAAACAUUGCAUUGGUAUAGAAAGAAAAACAAGGCAAAUGAAAAUUUACCUCAGCCAUGCCAACCCAGAAAACAGUAAUCUCUUGGAGACCUAGAGAGUCGGCAUCCUUUAUCUGUUCCUUUACUUUUUCGCGGACAGCUACAAUGUACGAAUAUAUUCUGAAUCAGUGAACUAUACAUCCAAUCAUAUUCAACGCAAUGAUUAUUUAUAUGUAAUCUUAUAAAUAGGGAGGGCUGCUGGGCAUCUGUGCCCCAGUCCAACGGUGCAUAAUGACUGAGGGCAAAGAAGAUUGUUGGGAAAGAAGUUCUACAAUAGCACUUGCAAUAUAUGGGCACCUCUGAGAGAACUAUCAAAUGAGUGAGGGACAUCUAGAUCACUUAAAAUAGACAUUUUGGAAAUAAUGAAUAGAACAAUAUAAAGAAAUAAACAAAAGGGGACAGCAAAAAUGGGACACUCCAAUAGUCUCACAUUGGAUAGAAAAUGGAUUGUGAAUGGAAAUAUAAGAGGCUGCACAUUCUAGUAAUAAUAAUUGGGAUUAAGUAUUUUGGGCUGGUAGUUAGGGUCCGACGAGUUAUUAUUGUUAUUAGAUCGGGUCGUUAUAUUUGCUAUCAAAGCUCAAUUAACUAGCAGGAAGCAUUGCAGAGCCUAAGAGAUAUACAGGAUCAAAGUGCAUACACAACAAAACCCCCAAAACGCGACUAUCUCUAGGAUCUCACAAUCGCCUGGAUUAAAUUUUGAAUUAUGUUGUAUGAUUUGGAUUUGAACCUAACAAGAACGUUAGGCCUAAAUAGGGGAGUCCAUAACACCCCGAUAUUCCUACAUCGGAUGAGAAAAGGGUUAUGAUUGAAAAUAUAAAGGACCAUGGACCUGAAUAUUAAUAAUUAAGCGUAUGCAUUUGGGGCCAAUAGUGUGGGCUCAACAAGUUAUUAUUGCAAGUGAGUCGAGUUGUUACAAAAAAAAUUUAAAGAAUUAGAAGAAACCAAAUUUAGUUGGUCAAUAGAAAAAACAAAAAGUAGAAGAAGAUUUUCUUUUAAGAAGAGUGACGGAUGUUUGACCACUUCAAUGAUUGAAGAAAAUCUUACUAAAACAGGCCUUUUCUUUUUCAAAAAAGGAAUAAGCAUGAAAAAGAUUGUAAGUUCUCUCAGCCUAGAAUUACAACAAAGCUUAUUGACUAUAUAUAUGCUAAAGGAAGAGACAAUAAAGGAUAAAGUGAUGCCUUGAAAUUAGAUAGCAGGAUUUAAAAUGUGGGGAAGAACAAGUAAAAUUAAUACUAUAAUAAAAGUGAUUAUAGAAGAAAGGAAAAGAUGUUAAUAAAAUGCGGACUAGGAAUAUUACUAGAAGAGACUCCUAUUGUAUCUAGAUUCUUACUGUAACUUGAAGUUAGAAAACUAGUAUCAAUUUUCAAGGAGAAUUGAUAGAAUAGCAAUGUCAACAACAAAAAAAAUUGAAAAAUGAAUAUUAUGAAAAUUUGAUACAUGUAAAAAUUGUGAAAGCAAUUAAAGUGAAUAAAAAAUAGGUCAAAAUGAAGAGUAAAUAUCAAUAUCUAUUAUCAAUUUAGCAUUUGGAUUAGCAAAAUCAAAAUGUCAUAUAUAAACUUGCAAAAGCUAAGAAACGAGCAACAGGACAUCUACAUUAUAUAAGGUCCAAUAGUAGAACCAAAGAGCUCUAGUAAGAAGGAAAUUUAUAAAGUAUAGAAGUUAUUAUGACAAAUAGAAAUAUUUUAUUCAUCUUUAGAUCAAACGAAAGAUAUUAUUCAUCCUUUGGAUCAAACUAGAAAGUCUAUUUGGAAAAAAGUUCUAGUCUUAAGAACCUCCGAAAACAUAUUGUUCCUUACACUUUGUAAGUCAAUUUUGAGAAUUCUAUUGAGUCUAUUCGAGUGUUUUGGCUACGUCCCAUUAUCUUGAGAACUAUGCUUUUUGAUAAUUUCUAUCAAGUCUAUUGAUUCUUUGGGUUAUUCGCCGUUAUCUUAUGUGCUCUACUUCUUUUGUCUGUCUAACCUCUAGGUUAAUAUACCUAAUCUUCUAAACCACCUAAAAUCCAUCGAUGCUAGCAUGCUUUUUGGUGGAUAAGUUUAGAAAGAAAGUAGCACAUAGUGAAUAUAGAUACAAUCUUGUGAAUGCAUCCAUGCUAUUACACAAUAAUAAGAUCACAUACCAAACAAGAAACUCAUAAACAGAUCAAGCAACUAUGUUGCCAACUUCAUAUUGAAUGAGUACUCAAGAGUAUAAAAGACUAGCAUUGCACAGUUAUAGAGGCAUGAAGUACAAACCUUCAAGUCUAGAGAAAAGAUGAGAUUGAAUAUAUUUUCCAGUAAUCUUUCUUGAACCACUUGGAACAUCAGAAGCUAUCUCUUCGGCUAGACCAACCAACGCCUGUCAACAGAAAGUAAGAAGCAAACAAUUUGUCAAAGAUAUCAAAUCUGCAAGCCAGUGGAUAUAGUAAAUUUUUUAUAAAUAUGUUUCUGAAAACUACCGGAGCCAAAUGCAACAGCCAUAGGACAUGACUUUCCCCCAUGAGCCAAUUGGAAAACCCUCAAGGGCACAAGCCCUUCAAACAAGCUCGUAAUACUGUUCACACAAAGUCAAAUAUGCAUAGUUUUUCUACCUUUCUUGGGCUUCCUAAGAUCACUCUGUAAAGGUGAUGGACCACUUGUCACCACUAUGAUCUAUUCUACCUAAAUAGCAAGUCAACAUUAACCGCUACCAUGAACUCUUCUUCCUAGCUCACCAAGGUCCACCUUGUAGGAGAGCUUUAGGUCUUCUAAUCCUCCAAAAAUCUCCUUCAAAUCCUUCUCCAACUCCUCCAAAUCCACCUUGGGAGAGUCCUCUAGAGAGAGAAAGAGAGAAAUGAGAGAGAGGAGAGUGUUCUUAGCUGGGAACAAGAGAAAAGAGGGGUUGGGUAUCUUUAUAGGCUGCUACAAUAGCAAAUAAGCCCUCCUUCUUUUCAUAUUUGCAGCAGACCAACCUGCUGUUUUCGCAGCACUGCGUACCGGUACACGGGAUUCUGUCACCAGUUUAACAGCCUUUUUUUACUCAAACCCAAGAGCAGCUGUUCUCGGUCUGCUGCCUGGUACCAGUACAAGGUCAAUGCAUUACCGGUAACAAAUGCUCCAGAUUGUCCAACUAUUUCUUUCGCACACUUUAGUCGAUUCGGCUAAAGUUCAAUAUUCUCUACCGAGUUUCAGUAUAUUACAAUGUAUGUAGCUCUACCACUAUCAAGUAUAUAGGUGUGUAAUAACCGAUAAGUAUGUCCAACUACUAUGUAUGCAUCAACUAGUUGUGAUGUAUAAUGUCUUGUUUAAUUAACUUCUACCCAAUCAUCGGGGACUUCACAUGGUAAUGUCCUGCCUUGUGCCAUGCCUAAUAGCCCCGUGGUAGUCAACAUUUUCCCUCUAGAAAUAAGCCUUGCCUAUGGCAUCCCACUUCGGCGCUCAAUUCUGCAUGGGCGAGUAUGUUAUCGCAAAGGCUUUCCGAAGUGUCGGCUUGUAGGGAGCGACUCAAUCAAAUAUGAAACUUUAUUUGCGAUAACUUCUGAUGAUGAGCUUUCUUGUUAUUUAUUAGUAGGUACAUACUUCCAACCUUGCCUCUCACGUGGUUGUUUAGGUUAUCGUUUGUGUAUUGUUUUGCACCUUUGUGUUCAAACAUAGCAGCCGGGGUAUAGCAGCUCCUGUUAUGAUCUUUAACACUACUGACACUUUUUAUAUAAAAUAUGACUGUAUGAACAUUGUUCUUACUCCUAAGCUUCCCAAAAUUCCUAGACAUUGACUGAUAACAUACAAAACUUUCCAAAUUAAAUUAAUAAAGCCUUUAGCCUUAAAAGAUUAAACACAUUAGCAGAACUCAGAUCUUGCAGAUUCUCAAUUUUAGUGCCUCAGAGCAAGCAACGAUCAAAUUUCAUGUUGUAACCAAAUUGUGAAACCUAAAGCAAAUCCAGAUCCAAAUUAACCUAACUGAAUUGUCUUUUCUUGUUUCUUUGUUCGGUUCUUGUUUGUUUUAUAAACUAAAUAUGAGGAAACAAAACCUUAGUUCGCUAAAUAUGAGGAAACAAAACCUUAGUUCUAAUCUAGGCAGACAUAUGUCGCUUUGCAGUGUUCAUGGGGAACAAAGCCCACUCCACCAGGUACAGUAUCAAACCUGCUGCCGCCCCCUGUUUCACCUUUCCAGUUCCUACCAGCCGGCUACACUGCGACAAAGCUUCUGGCUUAUCAGCGCCAGCUCGCCUUGAGCCAGGCAGCUGCUGCAGAAAUUAGAAUAACCGAACAAAACCUUUGUUCGGUUAUUGUUUGUUUUAUAAACUAAAUAUGAGGAAACAAAACCUUAGUUCGCUAAAUAUGAGGAAACAAAACCUUAGUUCUAAUCUAGGCAGACAUAUGUCGCUUUGCAGUGUUCAUGGGGAACAAAGCCCACUCCACCAGGUACAGUAUCAAACCCGCUGCCGCCCCCUGUUUCACCUUUCCAGCUCCUACCAGCCGGCUACACUGCGACAGAGCUUCUGGCUUAUCAGCACCAGCUCGCGUUGAGCCAGGCAGCUGCUGCAGAAAUUAUUGCCUGCAGCUGGUGAACCACGCCAGCAACACACCAUCCAACCUGUUGCUAUCCAUCACUGCUAUACUUAAAAGCCUCACUGUCCACGAGUUGCAGCCCUUUUUUCAUUUAAAAUAUUACUUUCCAUAAAAUACAAUUACUUAUUUUUUUAAAAAAAGAACAAUUACUUACCUGAAGUUCAAGUUCCAGUACGGCAAGUUCACUUUUGAGUUUGGCUAGUACAUUAUCUGUCACUUGCAACUGCAAUAUAUGAGGAUGUAAAAGUUGUUUGUUAGUUAUCAUGGAAACAAGAAUUUUACACUAAAAAUGAUAAGAAGACAUACAGAUUGUGUAAAUUUGGAUAUAGAUUGCCUUAUUCUCAAGGUUUCUCUACUAAAACAAGUUACAUGCAACCCCCCAAACCUAAAGUACCUAAGGAUGUAUACAAUUGAAUUUGUAUAUGCAUCUUCCAAAUGAAGUAGCUCCAAUAAAAUUUUGAGCUGCAAAAGCAGUUCCACACAGCAGCUCUUAUUUUUAUGCAGACAGAAGUAGCUCGAGGGAUAUAACUACAGUGCUGCAACCAGAAGUACAAAUCAAACAACACUACAUUGUAAUACACUACAAUUUACAGCAGGGACAACAUGCCCUAAAAUUACAAAGUGGUCAUUUGCAUGACGCACAAGGGACGUCCAGAAGACAGAUUUUUUCACUAUGCAGAUAUUUGAAAUGUUAGAAAAGCAAAAUUCUAUUACAGCGAGUGUUCCACAAAGCACUUUAUGCACCAGCGUAUGUGCCUGCAUUAUGCAGUCUCCUCGCCAUACUCACGCACAAUUAGGUUAUACAACUAGUGCAUAACAAUGUUUUAACUUUUAAAAACCAGAUCAAAAAGGUCGAACAGGUGUCACCUCUUCCAACAUGAUCUGACUUAACUCAUAAAAGCCAUAGAAUUAAAAAAAAAAAAAAUCACAUCAGACCAUUUGAACUAACUGGCAAUUCAACCGGCGAACGCAUUAACUAUUCCGAUUUUGAUUGGAUCAACCACUUCUAUUCUUGUACUUCUUCAAUUGGGCAGUCAAAAAACAAUGGGCAGUUACUAAUGUUGAAAAAAUCAGAAUAGGUCUCAAGGUAAAAAAUGUAUAAUCUUGUUUUUGUCUAACAAUUGAUUCUCCAAUGUUUUAUACAUACACAUGUAUAUUAUUAAAUUAAUAAUUUAUAACUUAAGAUGUCAUGCUAAUAUCGCUAGUUUGACCACUGAUCCAUCUGCUCGCCCAACCAAUGUCCUUGAACUGGUCACUUUUCUGCUUCUUUGCCACAAUCAGUGUGAGAACAUUGAGGCAUAAAUGCCUAUCCCAUGAACUUGGACAGUACAAAUAGAUAUAGGCAAGUUAGGCAUAAUAGAUGGCUAGAUUCAUUGCUAACCAUAAUGUACAACUUCAUAGCUUCUUUUUUUUUUUAAAGUAAUUCUAUGUCUACAUCAGAAGGUACGCAAAAUGUAUGUAUCAACAUAUGCACAAAAGCACAAAAAACACAAAUGAACAAAAGAAGAUUGUGCACAUAAUGUAUGCGAUCUAUAAGGUCCAAUCUAAAUUUCUGUGUACGCAAAAUUAUACAAAUCAGAUAUAUGCAUCGGUUCCUCCAAAAUACAGAGUCCGAACCUAAUAAAUAGAAAAAACACUUUGUUACUAUUCUCAGGCAUAGGCGGCAUGAUGCCAUAACUAACAAUUCCACAUUUCCGCCCUUCAUUCUUAUUGAUUAGUUCUACAAUUGAUUUUCUUUUAUGCAAGACCUAAACAUAAGAAGGUUAUUUUGCUACAAUGUUCGAAUAAUAUGUAUUCAUAUACCAAUGUAAUAAUAAUAGUUAUUCAUAUACUUGUAUAAGCAUUUCGACUCUUCUUGUAGAUACUUUAGAUGUCAUCUAUCCUGACAAAGUUGUAUUAAUUGUGAGUUGAACAAUAGGGAACAAGAACCAUGCCCUUUUAUAUUAUGCCCUAGGAAUACAUGUUUAUACAACUUUAUGAUCUUAUGAAGAAGCUCUGACUAACCCACAUAACAAUAACGACUGUAGCACGUGCUCUUUGGUUAGCAUUCAAAAAAUGCAGAGAGAAAAAUCUAGAUUCUAAUAUUGAUAUAAGGAUGCGUAAUUGCUCAGCUUGGGUUCAAAGUAGAUAAUAUUUUUUCUAAAAAAAAUGUAGACUUUAAUAUUGUUUCUAAUCAUUAUAAGUGAACUAAAAAGAAUGAGUCGGUGCAUCAAAAUGUAAAAUUAACUAACAUUAUAGAAUAUGCUCAACAAGUCUGCUUGAAAAAAUGAAUCAGUAGUUUCAUUUCCAGAUAAUCUUACAUAGUAAAUAAAGUAAGUUAAUUGACCUGUCGCUUGAGGAACCUGCUAUACUGAUUAGCUUCGCUGAGUUUCCUUAAAAGCUUACUUCUCUCAGCAUCAGCCAGCAGCGACUUCAUCUGCAAAUAAUGAAAUAUUACUUAUUUUACGGAUGAAAUACACAGAACAAAGAAGUAAAAUGAUGGGUUUAAAUUUUGGCAAUGUCAACACAUAAUUCAUUGGAAGGACAGUACACCUUAAUUGUUUCUAGAUAUAUAACUAGAAGUAACUACAGUUGGGACUGCUCAAAACAGUGAGUGAUGAUUAUACUGAAUCUUAUUUAGGUACAUAGAAAACCUGCAUGAGGAAAUUUUUUUGUGUAUCAAAACAUGUUGUAGAAAUCUAAAAAAAAAAUAAAAAUAAAAAACUAAACAUGCAGAUGCUUCAUUGCUGUGGUAAUCAUGAUUGGAAUUUGGUAGUAGGCUGCCAGAAGAAAAUAAAAGGAAUUGGAGGAAAACAGUUAAGCGAAAAAACGAAAGAAAAUCAUAUGAAUCAGAGAAAGAAGAUCUACACACGAACUUGAGGAGAAUGGAAGGAAUCCAUUAGAGGAAAGCAUAUUUUCUUUCUUCUUUUCAUAUCCAACACCUCAAAAGGUUAAAAGUACAUAUUCUUGCCGAGGUCAUUUAUGGCCUUUCGGCUAAACAUAGCAUUGGACAUUUCCUCUCCAACACAAAGAAACGAAAGUAACAGGAAAGGAUUAAGUACAAGCAAGAACAUCAGCUCACAUAAACAUGAGCUUUUUAUAAGAGAAUCUUUACUGUAUGGCUUUGACUUAAUCGAAGAACUUCCAGAAAUAAAACUGAUUUUGAAUUUUAGUAUAUUUUAAGCCCUCUAGUCAUCAAUGAUUUAAGAUUCCAACUGCACUUUCAAGUUUCGACUAAUCUAAGCAUCUCAGUGCCAUUUUUGUAAAUUAUUCCGCAUGUUGGUUAACUUUUCAUUAGAGAUGGGUUGGUACUUGGUAAAAAUCUUUACUAUUCUAAAUUCAAAACAGAUCUCAAUGUAAUUCGGGUUUAUUCCUAUUCAUUAAAUUACAUGAAACAACCAUGUACCUCCAAUAGCUUAAACUACCAAAGAAUGGUAUUUUUAGCAUUUAUAUUCAACACUCCCCCUCAUCUACAGGCUCGAGACUUUUUAGUAGGUCCGAGAUGCGGACUUGAAUUAAAUAGGAGGAAAUUAAAUAAAGCUAGGAGCCUGGCGGGACUCAAACCCACAGAACCUCGUGCUAUAAUUAUAUGUUGAAUUAUAUGAAACAAUCGUUGUUCUCCAAAAGCUAUUCGAGAUAAACAAUGAUUUCAUAUAAUUUAACAGUAUUAAGCAACAAAAAAUGCACCAACUGGCUAAGAUAUGAAACAUAUGAAUCUUCUUACAAAAAUAUAUAUGAUUUAUGACUAAAGUAAUUCUGCAUACACUUCAGUCUGUUGUAUCUGCUUAUACAACGGCAUGUAUUGCCUCCAUAGAUUGGUAGCGAUACAACAAUUUCUUUACUUUGAAAGCACAACAUUCCACAAAUGUCCUUCAUUUCAAAAGAUUAAGCCACAUUACUCAUAAGCUGCCGAUGUAUCCCACCAAAUCAUUCGAGAAUUAUUGCAUGCUUCGAAGAGUUGAGACAAAGAAUUUGAGUAACAGGAUUCUAAGAUAAUUAUAACUUAUGUUCUAAACUCUAUAUUUCUGUAUUAUGCUUGAUGAUCAGAAAAAGAAUGUCGCUACAAUACUAUAUCACACUAUAGACUGGCACUACACAUGUUUCAUGAGGAGAUUCAUAACACUACACUGAUAAUAAUGAUGAUUGAUGAUUAAUAACUUACAGAACCAUGAAAGUAAAAACUUAUGGUUAUGCAUUAGUAAAAACAAAUACAAAGAUGACGAUAUGCAAAUUAAGUUACUAGAUGAUGACAUGCAAAUUAUGUUGCAUGCUCCUAGCUAACAAUGGCUAAGGGGCACAAUUUCGCUAUUGGAAUUAGGGUAUCAAUUAGGGUAUCAAUAAGACACCCUACAUGUCAUAUUGAUUAAUAAAGAGUUACAAUACUAGCGCACAUGCUGUUGUUGCUCGAUGUUUUCUUACCGUUGUUCGUCCUGUCAUUGGAUAUACCACUCCAAUGUGAAGCAUAUACGGGAAAAAGGAUCCUCUGCUUCAACUCAAUUUCAUAUUGGUACACUAUAGUUCCAUGGAUAACAAUUUGGUUCACCAUAGUUAUUGUUUAUGUGUUUCCUCCGGAGCCAAAUAACCACUUUCAAAUUUUGCACAUGAAGGUCAUCUACCCCAAAGUUCUGUCAUUCUCCAGAGGCCUUGCGGUUUAUCCUAAUUUCAGAUCGGUAUCCUAUGGUUGCAUUUGCGGCAUUUUGGUGUGCUAUAUAAUCAAAGGACUUGUGAUCUUCACACGUGCAUUCUAACAAAGGUUAACAAGAUUCCUCUAAACAUUUCCUUUAGAUACUUGUGCUCUCACGAUACCACAUCACAAAUGGCAAUAUAGACCCUUACACCUAUGCUGCAGAUGCAGAGGUGAGCUAUCAACUGAAUGAUGAAUAUGUGGACAGGUGAUCAUCUUGCAACACUUCCACAAUUAUGUUACUUUGCAAAUAAUUCUAUAUGAUAUAUAUUCUUAUUUUUAUUGAGGUACAAAUAUAGUUUUGAGGAAUGCAUGUGAGGACGAAAUAGGUUUUUUUACUUGGCUUCCUUUAGUUUUCAAUGCUAAAGAUAUUUGUUACAAAUCUCCUAAAGAGGAAGUAUGGUUAACCCUACCUAAUUAACAAAAAUUAUUACUUGAUUAUUUGUUUCUUUAUAUGCAAUAAGAAGUACUAUAAGACGUACAAAGUUGUUGCUGAGUUCAAAAGCCACAGUAAUGUGCUAGUACGCUCAUGUAACAUGUAGAAAGACUAAAUCAUAUAAGAGAUGAGUGUAAAAGUUAAUGAAUUAUUGCCUCAUCUGAAGCCAUUGGUCGUGAAAGGAGCUUUCUGGAUGGAUCAUUGGAAAUGACUUCGCCAUUAUUGCUCAGUUGUUCUUCCUCUGGUGAGAGGGAAGGAUCUUCAUCCAAGUUAAGACUUGAAGCACAAGACCUCCACAAUGAAUGUUUCCAAAAUUGUGGGCGUAGGGGAUAUCUAACUGUGUCUAAUUUAACUCGGUGUCCAUGUUUGGAAGAAGCAUCACUUAAAUGGGUGCACCUUUUCGGCACAAUCCAUAGCCUAUCUGAUGAGAGAUUAGGUCGCAAAAUGUAGCGAUGCUCCAAUUCCAGCUUUCUUGAGUGCCAAAUGAUACCAUAUGUCAAAGAGAAAAAGAAAUCAAAGGCAUAUUAGCCAAUUAAUUAACUUGGUAAAUCAGGUACGACAAGCUAGAAUGCGAUAAAUGAAAUCCCAAUGAGCUGAACUUCAAUUUCAAUGCUUCCAAAGAAGAAGAAAGAACUUCCUGCAAAAAUCUAAAAAUGUUAAGAAAUAAAGAACAUAUAUCUAUUUGCCAAUAUGAAAUGCUCAUUACAAGCAAAGCAGUUUACUUUGUAGCUUACUCAGAAUAACUGGUUAAAUAACCAUAAUGUCAUUCUAAUUUGUCAAAUAACUCUAACAUCUUUUUCAAAAUUAGUGCACCGAUCCGAAGGCCUAAAUAUAAGCAUCAUAGCUAGAUGUAGAAGGUACUAGCACAGGAAUGUUUCUUUCUUGGGGAAAAUUUUUUACCUUAUAGAAACUGUCUUUAAACACUCCAUGGUUGAUUUCCUGCAAUAACAUUCCAAUAGAAGUAGAAGUGCAAGUUACUAUCAUCAUAUUAAGAUAUUAAAUGAGAUUUUGAUUUCAAGUCAAAUACAAAUUAUGUACUAACAGAUCAAGACAAAUUAGAGAUCAAUGACUUCAAUCAAAUGGCUGAUGAAUCUUAACCAGCCAUAACAUAAAAAAAAAAAGAUUAAGUUGGUAGCUUUUUUCUCAUCUUAUGGCGUAUUCACGAGCCGUGCAUUUCGUUCUCCAAAAGUUUGAUGAAAUGAGAGUUCUAUACUGCAGACCUACACCAUAUGUUAGCUAUGAAUGCCAAAAAGUUAAAGAUACAUAGACAGAGCAACCUGAUUUUACACUAAUCUAAGACAAUUCUAUUUCCUUAACAAGAAAAUAAUCUAAGACAUAGUUAUUAUCUAGCAAUAUUUUAGGUGAUCCAGAGGGGAAGAACUAAGAGCCCCAUGUCACGGACUUAGCGUUUUCGUUCGCAAAGCCCGUGCGGCGCCCACCUUUCCUGCUCGAAGAUGGACAAGCCUUUGUCCCUGUUGCUAGCCCGGACCUUCGCGUCCUACGACUAAGUAUGCAAAGGGAAAUGACAAAGAGAAAGAGGCAGAGGUUCUCUCAAAAAACUAAGUACUACACUACUUAGAAAUGAGAAUUACAACCUACAAACAGCAUACAAACACACUCUCUCUUGUGUGCUUUGGCCUUAGCCAAACCCCUCUAUUUAUAGGCCUAAAGGUGCCUUUUCAACUCACCCACACACAUAACUCACCCAUUAUUACAUACAUAAUGAGCCUACAUAAUGAGCCCUCAUAAAUGCCAAAAGCUCAAGAGUCACCCAUAACUCCCAUGAGUUUCAUGACCCUUGAGUUUCCCACAGCGGGUUGGGUUUGGGUCUACUUGCCAACCCGAUUCGACCCGUUUUCAACCCGAACUCGCUAAGCAGAUUUGGGCCAGGGACCGGGCUGCAUAGAAAUUUUUCUAAGUCCCUGACACCCAGCUCUUUAAUAUCUCAGAUCAUUUUUCCUUGCAAAUUGCAACUCCCAGUAAUGAAAGUUGGACUAUAUAUAUGAAAGGAGAUUGAUUAACUUAGCAGUGGAAAAUAUUUAGAUGUGAUUUCUAUACCUAUGAGAUUUGCAUGACCAUAUUCUUUGGUUAGUAAAUUGGUACCGUGCGGCAUUCAUUGUGUCAUACCAGUAUCACAGAUUACCAAACGGUCAGUUUCUAUUUCUUGGUUAUGCAGCAUAUCCUAGUAGACUACUAUAUAAUAGAACUAAAAGAUUAGCCAAAAUGUCAAACUAUAAGAACUUUAUUUUUCUAAUAGUAAAAGUCUGAAUAUUUGUGGUUUGUCUUAGUUUUUCUCCGAAAGCCAACUGAAGCAGCUAAAUGCAGAACCCUAGCGUUUGUAACUAUGAUGUACUAUAUACACCAUACCAUUUCUAAUCUUUCAUUUCAAAAAGAUGGGUGGUUUUAGAAAGUGAUAUGGAUGGUUUUAGAAUGUGAUAUGAUCGAAAUAAAAUUUCUUAACAAAAUUCUAACAAAUAGAAGCAUGCUUUUUCAAUUGGCAAAAUAGAAUGUACAUAUCAUUAAAAUCAUUAAAGAGAAACAACAAAUAACAAAAGGUUACCCAUGAAAAGUUCUACACUGAAGAUGUAGUAACGAAUAAGAUAGCGCUAGUGCAGUUGCAUGCAUGCAGGGUAAGGGCUAAAUUUGUUUGCACCUAAUAUGUAACGGUGUAUAGUUGGGACGAGAACAAUCUAGCCCACCUUAUUAGCUCAGCUGUUGAAUCAGUUUUGCAUUCAACUUUAUACAACACACAGAAGAACUGAGCCUUUCAAAUUGCUAUACUUAGAUAAAUUUUCUGAUUCAAUUCAACCGCCAACUGUCUAACAAUCCAUAAAAAUAAGUAAACAAACUCUCCGAUGAAAAGAUACUGGAUCAGAAGGCCAAUGCCCCCAUCAAUAGCACUUAGACUUAUACGGAUGGACGGAAAUAUUGAUCGCGCCAUUGAAGGGAAUGUGUGCCCAAGGCGUCUGCCCAAUCAAACAAAUUGAGUGCAAGAAACAUAAAUGUUGUUUGAAUUAACCAAUUAACAGACUUGCCAACAGACGCUGCCCCUUUUAAUUCAAGUGACCCUAUUUUACCCUUAUUCCAGCAGAAACUUUGUUAUCUACCGCAAGAAAUUUAGAAAAGAGAUUUAUGUGUCCACUACGUUUCUGUGUAAAAAGAUUGGGACUUUUCCUACAAAAUUAGGGCCUCAAGCAUCAUUUGUCCUACCAUCAACAAUCUUAGGGAACAUACUUUUACACUUCCCAAUAAUUCCAAGAAGAUUUUGCAAUCAGGAUAAUCGCAAAUGUCAUAAAUCAUAUAAAUUAAUAACUUCGUAACAGCAAUUCGUACUGGCAAGUUGAAGAAAUUAUUUCAUAUCAAAACCUGUUAAAUCCAGCAUAAAUUCAUAAUCUCUUACCAUAUUUUUUUUUUUUUAAAAAAAUUUACUAGGAAGUUAUAAACUUCUCAUUUAUUCCCCUUUUUCGACUCCUUAACAAGCCUCUUUUAAUUUCAUCACUUGUAACCACUCUCAUUUCUACUUGCAUUUGACCACAUUCCACGCAUUGAUCAAAAUCAUCAUACAAAAUGCAACCCAAAAUCAUAAUACUAGCAUGGGUGCUAGUAGAAUUAGUUUUACCACCAUUUUUUUCAAAGAAAAAAAAAAAUUCUUAUCAUGAUGGUAUGGUCACAACGGUGCCUGUUUCUUUAGGAAUACUCAAAAAGAAAAACCCGAACUAGAGAUUUUCAAAAGAAAAAAAAGGAAAAAGAAAAAGAAAAACAUCCCUGGAUAGAACAUACAGAAACCAAGAAUUUUAACAAUAAACAGCUAAAUAGCUCAUCUCUAUUUAUUACUUGUAAGUGGGGAUUUGAACAAACUGCUGUGCGUGUAGUGACGUUGUGGAUUAAGGAUAGGAACUCCGGGAUAGGAUCUUUACUUACCUAGGGCCUUAAUCCCUCAUCAGUGUUUUACAGGGAGAGGGGGAACCUCGGAAUGGGCUUUGGAAGUCUAGGGGCGACGAGAAGCUUCUGUCGAGGGUGUGUGCGGAUAUGAACACCUGGCCCAAAAAUGCACGUCUCUGUAUUUCCCGUGCGAUUUUCACGAGGUAUAUAAAUUGUGCUGAGGUAAGUAGAUAAUUGGGCUCUAUAUCUUUAAAAGUAAUAAAUUAUUAGUGCUUAAAUAUUUACGGAGUUAGGAUAAUAGGGACAAAAAUUUUAUGGGCAUCGUGCCCAAACAAUUUGUUUGGGCACAAUGCCCGGAUGGGCGCCGCAUGUGCAGCGGCACCCAUCCGCACCNNNNNNNNNNNNNNNNNNNNNNNNNNNNNNNNNNNNNNNNNNNNNNNNNNNNNNNNNNNNNNNNNNNNNNNNNNNNNNNNNNNNNNNNNNNNNNNNNNNNCAACGUCUCUUCAUGUUGCGCAUGGCGGAAGGUACCUCUAUUAAGUCGCAUUUAGAUGAAUUUAAUUCUAUUAUUAUGGAUCUCCGCUCGAUCGAUGUCAAAAUCGAGGAGGAAGAUUAAGCCCUUUUAUUAUUAUGUUCUCUACCGCCCUCUGAUAAGAAUUUUUGUGAGACUUUCUUGUUUGGACGAGAUACUCUAUGCCUCGAUGAUGUUAAAUCCUCUUUACUUUCAAAAGAGAGAAUUGACAUGCAGAUAAGCAACGAGACAGGUGGAGCUUCAGGACAAGGUUUGGUCGCUAGAGGGAGGUCUCGGGAGAAGGGUUCCGGUAAUAGAGGUACAUCUAGAUCAAAGUCAAAACAUAGGAAUCUGAUUUGUGAUUAUUGUAAGAAGAAGGGUCACAUAAAAGCUGAUUGUUUCAAGUUGAAAAAUAAAGAGCAGCGAAAAAAUAACGGUGAUAAAAAUCAAAGUAAAAAAAACACAAAUACUGAAGCAGAAGCAAGUGUUGCAGCAGAAGAAUCAGAUAAAAAUGAUAUCGUCUUCACAGUUACGGAUAAGGCACGCAGACAGGAUGAGUGGCUUAUGGACUCCGCAUGUUCCUUCCAUAUCUACACGCAUAAAGAAUGGUUCUCGACGUACAAGCCUAUUGAAGGUGGAGAUGUAUUAAUGGGAAAUCACUCUAAGUGCACAGUUAUUGGAAUUGGCACUGUUCGGGUACGAAUGUUCGAUGGAGUAGUGAGGACUAUAUCUGAGGUUCGGCAUGUUCCGGAUAUGAGGAAAAAUCUGAUCUCGUUGGGUACACUUGAUACUAAAGGCUUUAAGUAUUCUUCAGCUGAUGGAUUAAUGAAGGUCGCUAAAGGGAAUCUUGUAGUGAUGAAGGCCAAGUUGUUCGACAUGUUAUAUGUUCUACAGGGUUCCACUGUGACAGGUUCAGCAGCGGUGACUUCUUCUUCUAUGUCAGAUUCGGAUAGCACCAGAUUAUGGCAUAUGCGACUGGGCCAUAUAAGUGAAUAUGGCAUGAUGAAGUUGGGCGAGAAAGGUUUACUUGGUAGUCAGAGUUUAGAAAAGUUGGACUUCUGCGAACAUUGUGUUCUUGGCAAACAAAAGAGAGUAAGCUUUAAGGCUGCAGUUCACCGAACAAAAAGUACUCUGGACUACAUCCAUUCUGAUCUUUGGGGACCUUCUCGUACUUCUACUCAUGGUGGUGCUAGAUAUAUGUUGACUUUUAUUGACAACUAUUUUCGUAAAGUGUGGGCGUUCUUUCUGAAAAGUAAGGAUGAGGUGUUUAAUUAUUUCAAACAGUGGAAGGUCAUGAUUGAGAAGCAAACUGAAAAGAAGACAAAUGAUUAAGGACCGACAAUGGUUUGGAAUUCUGCUCGUCAGAGUUUGAAGAAUUCUGCAAGAAAGAAGGGAUCGUUCGACAUAAGACCGUCAGGCAUACUCCACAGCAAAAUGGGGUGGCCGAACAGAUGAAUAGAACUCUUUUGGAGAGUGCUCGUUGUAUGCUCUCUAAUGCUGGCUUAGCUAAGAGUUUCUGGGCAGAGCCGAUCUCUACGGCAUGCUAUCUGGUGAAUCGAUCUCCACAUUCAGCACUUGAUUGCAAAACUCCGGAGGAGGUAUGGUCUGGUAGCCCUUCUGAUUAUUCUAAUUUGCGAAUAUUUGGUUGUCCUGUUUAUAUUCAUGUCAAUGAAGGCAAGUUAGAACCUAGGGCUAAAAAGUGCAUUUUUAUUGGUUAUGCAUCGGGGGUUAAGGGAUAUAGAUUGUGGUGUCCUGAAUCGUCUAAAUUAAUUAUUAGUAGGGAUGUCACAUUUGAUGAAUCUGCUAUGUUAUAUCCUAACCGUAAUUCUUCUAAUGAGACCCCGAGUGCUAGCAAGCAGGUGGAGGUAGAGACCGAUGGCAUAGUUCAGUCACAGAAUUCUUCUUAGUCAGAACAAAUUCAGUCGGCAGACACCUCAGUAACUGAAACCCCACAAGUUGAGAGGCAGAGCAUUGCUACAGGCAGAGCGAGGAGACAGAUUAAACCACCGCAGAGAUACGGUUAUGAAGAUAUGGUUGCUUACGCUCUUUCAGUGGCACAAGAUACAGAAGAAGAAGGUGAACCUUCGACAUAUAAUCAAGCUAUUUCCGGUGCCAGUUCUGCAGAGUGGUUGGUGGCGAUGAAUGAGGAGAUGGAGUCUCUCCAUAAGAAUCGCACAUGGGAGUUGGUAAAACCGCCUACAGGCAAGAAAAUUGUCGGCUGUAAGUGGGUCUUCAAGAAAAAGGACGGAAUCCCCGGCGUGGAAGAUACAAGGUAUAAAGCUCGUUUAGUUGCUAAGGGCUACAGUCAGGUAGAAGGUGUGGACUUUAAUGAUAUUUUCUCACCCGUCGUAAAGCAUACUUCUAUUCGUGUUCUUUUAUCGUUAGUAGCCAUGAAUGACCUGUAUCUUGAGCAGCUUGAUGUUAAGACAGUUUUUCUGCAUGGAGAACUUGAGGAGCAAAUUUAUCUGAAACAGCCGGAGGGAUUCAUUGUUGAAGGGAAGAAGGACCAUGUUUGCCUGUUAAAGAAAUCGCUUUAUGACUUAAAGCAGUCUUCUCGACAAUGGUAUAAGCGGUUCGACUCCUUCAUGACAGGUCACGGAUACUCCAGAAGCAAACGUGACAGUUGCGUAUAUUUCAGAAAGCUUGAUAAGGGAUCUUUCAUAUAUUUGUUGCUCUAUGUCGAUGAUAUGUUAAUUGCUUCCAGCGACAUAGUUGAGAUAAAUAAAUUGAAGGCUUUACUGAAGGGUGAGUUUGAGAUGAAAGAUCUAGGUGCUGCUAAGAAAAUCCUUGGUAUGAAAAUUAAGAGGGACAACAAGUCAGGACUACUGCAUUUGACAUAAGAGAAAUAUAUAGAGAUGAUUUUAAAGCGUUUCAGGAUGACAGACGCAAAACCAGUGAGCACUCCUUUUGCGGCGCAUUUCAGACUUUCCGCCGAGUUAUCGCCGCGGUCUGAUGAUGAGCGGGAAUACAUGUCACAUGUUCCCUAUUCUAAUGCUGUCGGGAGCAUCAUGUACGCCAUGGUUUGCACACGGCCGGACAUCUGCUACGCAGUGAGCAUGGUUAGCAGAUAUAUGACCAAUCCUGGUAAGGCUCAUUGGCAGGCUGUUAAGUGGAUUUUGAGAUACUUACGAGGUACCACUAACACUUGUUUGGAGUUUAGGAGAUGUAACGAUGGUGUGGUUGGAUAUGUUGAUUCGGAUUUUGCAGAUGAUUUGGAUAGGAGGAGAUCACUUUCAGGUUAUGUAUUCUCUAUUGGCGGAUGUGCAGUUAGUUAGAAAGCCUCACUACAACCUAUUGUUGCCUUGUCUACGACGGAAGCGGAAUAUAUUGCUAUGACAGAGGGUGUGAAGGAAGAUAUGUGGCUAAGAGGCUUAUUUGGAGAGCUUACUUCUUGUUGGGAUCCGACGGUUGUUUAUUCAGAUAGUCAAAGUGCUAUUCAUUUGUCGAAAGAUCAGAUGUUUCAUGAGAGGACAAAACACAUCGAUGUAAAGUUUCACUUUGUUCGGAUUGUGAUUGGGAAACGCACGGUAACUGUUAAGAAAAUUGGUACUGAGGACAAUCCGACGGAUAUGCUUACUAAGUCCCUUACUAUUGCCAAGUUCAAACAUUGUUUGGACUUGGUGGCAGUUAGCAGCAUUUGAGGCCCUAUGGGGCAUUUGGAGAAGACGGAGCACGGAGCGUUAAGAAGCAUUGAGGCGAAUAAAAUUCAAGGCAGAGUUUUGUGGCGAUCUCGGCAUAUACGUCGGCUAAACUACAAAUUAAACCAAGGUGGAGAUUGUUAUAUUUGGUUUAGAUUUGUAGUUAUCUAAAUUGGAGUUAAAUCCUAAUCUAAUUGGGAUUAGAUAUAAUUUAGAUUUAAUUUGGCAUAUAUGGAUUAUAAUUAGGAGUGUAAUUCUAAUCUAAUUAGAAUUAGACUCUAGUUAGGAGACAUGUAUUAUAUAUACAUGCUACGGCCAAAUUAAUCUUGCCGCGACCAAAUUAAGAUGCCACGUUCUAAUUAAGCAAGCAAUGCAUGUUGGUUCCGGACGAUCAAGAAUCCGCCGCGACCAAAUUAAGGGCCAUGCAAUCCUCUAAUUAAUUAGCCAACGUUGUUUUCUUCUUGGGUGCUGUUGGUGUUCGAUGCAAAUUAAUUAAGUCAAGCUAUUCAUGUUCCCUACGGUGAAGGAUCCCCGACGACUCUAAUUAGCGCCACUUUAGAGUUCGUAUGGGGUUGAGGAGCCGAGCCGGUUUUCUUGGAGUUGCUUGUUGCGGCGUUUCGGAUCUAAUUAAGUUUUGGUCUUUUGAGAGAUUUUCUUGUACUCCGCCUUUUCGACAUUAAUAAAAUAUUUGCUCCGUCUUCGCCCGUGGACGUAGGCCGUUGGCCGAACCACGUAAAUAUCAGUGUGUUCUUUCCUUAUCUUUUCUUUUCUUGCAUUAAAUUAUUUUCUGGAUCUAUUUUUCGCCGUUCCGAUUUUAACACUAUCUUUAAAGGAGGUAAGCUGCUAAUUCUCUGAAGGUUUUGCGGUAUGUUACUAUGGGGCAAAGAUUUGCUGUCUCUUAAUAGCAUAUUUAGUAGUAAUGCUUUUUGUUGUCUUUAUAUUCUGGAAAAGUCUAUCUUAUUCUCAUUUGCUAGUUGUUUGAAUCUUUGAUCCAUAAUGAGUAACUUCUUUUUUUUUUUUUAACUCUCUAGUGUACUGUGUAGUGUAGUACGCGCACCCUUUUUUACCAUUAUUUUUUACUAACAUUUUGUGAUUUCUAAUAAAGGCUAAUUUAGGUUUUAUAAAAGUUCUGGUGGCCAAAUCCAAAGCUGAAGGGUUGCAAGAGCACCUAAGGGACAUGGUCGAGGGAUUGUACAAGUGGCAAGAUGAUACGAAGAAUCACUUUCAAGCCAAGGUGCCUUUCUCUUUUCUGCAUAUAGUUCAAACAUGUGAAUAUGAUUCUUAGUUCUGUGAUUUGUGCAAAUCAGAAGUUUUAUCCUUAAUGAAAACUGCUUUCUAGAUGUACAUCCAUCAACUAUAUCAGGGGGAAAAAAUCAAAAUAUAAAAAAGGGAAUUAUUUUAACUCACUGUGGCAUUCAUUCUGUAUGUUAUAUCUAGAUCAAGUUACUUCUUGAGCUGUUGAUAAGGAAAUGUGGUUUGGAUACUAUGAAAACAGUUAUGCCCGAAGAACAUAUGAAACCGCUAACCAACAUAAGGAAGGUAAAUAUCAUUUUCUUCCCUGGUAUCAUUUAUAAUCCUAUUUUUUUUGCAUUGUCCUACCUUAAUUUCUCUUGAAAAGCAGAUUAAGGACCGAAAAGAACGGAAGGCCAAAUCUUCAGACGAUGGAGAGUCGCUUACAGCAUAAUUUCAAUAGUCUUUUAGUUGCAACUGAUAUAUAAUCGUAUAUGCGCGUGCUUCAUAAAUUCCUUUUUUGGGCCCAACUAAUGGUUUCAUUUAGCAUUAUAAGAAACUUUUAAUUCUUUAAAGAAUUGGGUUGAUGCUGUUCUACCACAGAGGACUCUAAAAUAUUAGCAUUGCAUGCAUAUGUAAAAGAUGUUUGCAUGCCAAUGUCAGAGGCUUGUUUAAGUUUCCUGUAUCAGAUUCUUCUUACAUCUCCCUGUAUUUGGGGCUAGGCUAUCAACAUGCUUAGAAAGGCGUAACUCGCGAAAGCCAGCUGUAAGGACUGAGAUUUUGGCAGUAUAGUUAAACUCUGUGUUGACGAUGUUUUUGUGUAUAUUUUAAUUACAAAAGCACUCGACAAGUUUCGAGAGAAAACAAGUUUGAAUGGAGAAGUUACGCGACUUUUAUUUUUCACUUAAAGUGAAUAGUAACCCGCUUUUCCGAAGAGGCCACGGAGUAGAGUUGGCUUCCGGCGCGUAUCAGACUCCGUUCAUAGCGACCCAAUAGCUCGUUUUGAAUGGUUCAGCUAUUCUGGAACCAAUGGCACUAAUGGAUUUUAGGUUUUAUGCACGGUUCCGAGAAAAAGGGAGUUUAUUGGAUUUAAGCUUAUAUUUAGUUGUGGUUUUGGAAAAUUGGAGAGAGGUUAGGUUUUGUCGCAAAUCUGUGACCAAAACAGGCGAAUCAAAAUCGUGGAUUUGAUGUCUCUGUCAUGCUGAUCGCACUGGUGCGAACCGGUCGAAAAUCCGACGGACGAAUCGCUAGAUAUCACACGUUUUCCGAGGUGAGGUCAAAAUGGCAUUUUUUGUAUCUCGCGCUAAACCCCCUAUAUUUUAUGUACCGAAUUGCAUGAGAUUGGACAUAGAGAUGUGUACGCGCAUUUUACAUGCGCUGUGAGAGACUCAAUUGAAAAUAAUGAGUGUUGGGUGACUAGUUUGCAAAUUGGCCAUAUGGUUUAUAUUGCAUCUAGGGUUUUCAAUUGGAAACCCUAACCCUAGAUGCCCUCCUCCGUCAGCCGACCUCCCUGCCACCCUCAGCACCCCCCUCUGCCCUCCCCGCGCGCACCCCGGCUGCCGACGAGCGCCUCGGGCCACCGGAGAAGGGGUGCAUUGCUUUCCUCCUUAUCUUCUCCACCUAACCACCCUCCAUCUUUGCCUAUGGACUAGCCAGGGUGGUCCUCACCCUUGGGAACACCCUUGGCAGCGGCCUCGACCUCCGGCGACUCACUGCAUGCGUCACCGCCGUCCCCACAGGCCGCCGCCGCCGUCACUAGCUCCCUGCGGCCGAGUUGGGUUAGCUCGGGCUGAGCCCAAGCUAGACCUUAACUCGCGUUCUGCCGCCACCUGAAACCGGCCGUGCCACCCUCCCUCGACGUCCGUCGACUCCGCCCACCGGUCGCAGUCGUCCCUGCACGCCGCCGUCGCCGCCUUGGCAGCCUGCGGCUAGCCUGGGCAACUCCGGGCUGAGGCGGAUCCAAUUCCUUCCCCUCGUGCCGCCGCAUCUCGGGGCCGACCUUGUCGUCUCUCUCUGGUCUCCGACGGCCUGUCGUCGCCGCCCCGAGGCUCCCCGGCCGCCGCCAUGGCCUUCGCGUUCAGCCGAGCCCGAGCCAAGCCCGUACGGGCUCGGGUUGGUCCAGCACCGCCACAGCCGCCUUCCGCUGCCGGCUGGCGUGAGCACCGGCUCCGCCUAGCCGCCGCACUCGUCCGUCGCCGGCUCCCCACCGCCGGUGCCCCUUGUCGGCCUGGCCUAGGCUGUGCUCUCAUCGGCUUGGUGCGGCUAGGGCAUCGUUGCUGCCGUCGCCGCUACCUCCCGUCGUCGGCUGAUGCGCGCCUGUAACAACCCUGAAGAAUAGAGGGUAGAAAUAGUAGUAGUAGCAGCUAGCAUGGGAGAGUAGUAAAAGUAGCAGUUUUACUAGUUAAGAUGGAGAAUAACGGCGGCAGCCGGUUGGAGAGGAGAAAGCGCGCCAAGUGGGAUGGCGGGAAGUGAGAUCGCAGAAGGGUUCAGGUGGGCGGACGAGGGAGACCCUAGGCGACUGGGGCAUCCAUGGCGCUCUGAGGAAGAGAAGGAAGGAUUGAGGAGAUAAGUAGAUCCGACCGAAUCCAAGCGCUUGGGAGAAAAAGAAGGCGCAGCGGGUCGAAGCAGCAGCCUUCUGGAGCGGAGGCCAAAGGCAGACCCAAGAACCACCGGGUUGCAGAUGGUGCGAUGAAGGACGGAGCCGACGCUCGUUUCCGUUAACAAGAGGAUCGGAUGAACCUAGGGGCAGGUCGGGUGAAUUUGGCGAACCCAGUAUCCGCCGGUUCGCGGAUAGUGCGGAGAAGAGUUGAACCGAUACUCAUUUGCUCGAUAACCAGCAUCCUGGACCGGAAAGGACCACCCGCGACCCACAAGGCAUCAGAAUUCAACCCUGUCAGGCCUCAUUCCCUAUUUUGACAAAUUGCAGUUUAGCCCUCAUACAUUAGCUAAUUUUACUUUUAGUAUGAGUUAGCAACUAGUAUAUAUACCAAACUGUAUUGGAAAAUAGAUUAUGAAUGAAAUGAAUUGAUAUUUUCUUCCCCAAUUAUCCUCUUCUCCUUUAAACCCUUCUUCUUCUUCUCUACUACUACUCCCUCUCAUCUCUCCCCACUCUUCUUUAUUACUUCUAAAACCCUACUCUCUUCCUCACAAUCUCACUCCCUAUCUCUCUCUAUUUCUCUACUUCCUCUUCUCUUUCACAAACUUACCUCCAAAUCACCCCAAAUCAUCCGGUAGCUUGGUUACCUCGGAUAAGCGACAGACAGCCACCCGGGACAUAACAGCGCCUUGACCUCUCUACGUCGCCCGUGUCCGCUUGCUACCGGUUCUUCCGCCUUCCGGCCGCCGUCAGUCAACCCUAGCUCUCCCCUGGCCGGUAAGCUAAGUUAUUGCUGUUUCGUGCAUUGUUUAUGGUUUGAAUCGCAGUUCUAGCAAACCGAAGCUGCUCCGAUGUCUCUGGAGAUGAGCACAGUGAUAGUCGGUCAGUGCUGAUCACAGUGCUCACCUUAUUUGGGGUCAACGAGCGUCGGAUGUGAUAAUUAGAAGCGUUUUAGUUUCAGCGCGCAGUUUUUGCUGAACUUCGCGUCGCUCGCGCGCUUGCCACAGUGGUCGACCGUGCUCCAAAGUGUGAGCACAGCCUCCGGCACAUCGAGACCUGUCAACGAUGGUCUCGGCCUAGCUAGAAUACCCUCGGUUUGCGCUGUCGAGCCGUAAAACCCCGAAAAUCACAUGAAAUAAUGUGCUUUUAUGUAGUUGCGGGGGUUUCUAUGCAAUUGUACGCUUUGUGGUUAUUGUUGGCAGCGUGUGCGAGUAGUGGGUGACCUCUGGACUGAUUGUGCAAGGCCCCAGGCCCUUGUGGAGAUCGAAAAUUGAUUUCCGGUGCGUUCGUCGACAAAAUCCGCCGACGAAACGUGUUUUCGGUUCGGAAUUAUUCCGACGGUACCUUGUGAUAUUUUGUGUUGUCACUGAGCCUUGUUGGCUGGUCACCCGCAUCGUUUCGAGGGUUCAGAAACGACGGGUGAGCGACGGUGGGUUCCGAUAUCGAAUUGGACACUUCCGGGAACCCAGAUUGGAACAAUUAUCCGACGAUAAUCGUUUCGAUCUGAGAUAGUGUUUUUGCUGCCAAACCAUACGAAUAUAAGUGUUUAGUGGCAGCGGGUGACUUGUAGCACGAAUCGGUGAGUUCCGGGAUAGUUCGUGAGUCCCGGCGAAGUCCCGGUGCGAUUUUUAGGACUUCUGGCGAGUUUGGAAAUCGGUUUUGGGAAACCGAUUCCCGUAGGUUUAUUGGUGAGGAUUGUGAGUUAGUGGUUCAUAUUUGUGUGUUGCAUUCUAACCCGGUGGACCCUUCGUAGGUCCGAUUGAUACUUCCUCCGUAGUCGGAAAGUGAGUGUCGUAUACGUACAGGUGGGUACUUCGAUCCGAAGUCGGUACAGUGGUGCACGCUCUGUGAUAUCUUCUUACCCUUGUUCUCCCGUUAUUACUCUACAUGCAUAUAUUAUAUGUUGAGCCCAGCACCUAUUCCAUAUUUUCUUGUUGCUCUACUUAGCUAUUUUGCAGAUCUUGUAUCAUGUUUAGGGUAGAGCAGUUUCGUUAUUGUUUGUGAGAUUGUGACCUAGUUGGUCAGUGCAUUGCAUCUGUUUAUGACCUAGUUGGUCGGUUGUUGUAUCCCGUAUCUGUGACCUAUUCGGUCAGUUUACUGCAUUUACUAUCGUGACCUACUUGGUCGGUUGGACUAUUCGAUGACCUAUACGGUCGGUAUACCCUAAGGGGUACGAUUGUCGGCUAGUGGCUGACGGUUAGUUCUGAAUUAUACGAAUGUAUGAUGUGACAUCCUUGUGACCUAUUGGUCGGUUCUUGUGCAUAUAGAUGUUAGUUGACAUUGAGUGGUCGAUACUUGCAUAUCUUCGAAGGGAUGUUGAGUUGUUCCAUCUUAGUUGACCUGAGUGGUCGGUACAUCUGUUCCUUACAGUUCGAUGACCUAUUGGUCAGUGUACCCUAAGGGGUAGGGAGUGUUUGAAAAGGCACGCCUGAGGCGCGCGCCUCAGUGCCUAGGUACGAGGCGCGCGCCUCGGUGCGAAGCGUGCGCCUAGGCACCUCAGCAAUAGCGAGGCAAGGCGCUAUUGUUGAGGCGCGUGCCUAGGCCCUGAGGCACGGGCCUCAGGCGAGGCGCGAGGCCCACAUAAGGCGCACACCUCAGCAUAUUUAAUAUUUCUUGGAUUUUGGAUUAAGGUUUUCGGGUUGUUGGGUUUCGGGUAUAAAUUUUAUGUUUUAACCCGAUAAGCUUAGUAAAAGAUUCUAUAAGAAACAUAAAAAAAAAAACCCUAAUGAAAUCAUCUACCGCCAUCUUCUUCUACCGCCCUCCUCUCCCUAUCCCUUCUCUAUCUGUGGGCAACUUGGCAUCCAGCAAGCAUCCGCAGCAGGAAGAAGCAAGGACAAGCAGCGGUCAGCACUCAGCAAGCAUCCAUUGUCAAGAGCAGCAUCAGUUUUUUAUUUGCAGUGGCACUGCAGCAGCAGAAACAGGAGCAGCGACAGCAAGAAAGCAUGAAGAAGUAGCAAUCAAGUAAGUAUAGCCUCUAUACUCCAAUAUUUUUCCUUUGAAUCUAUUUUUUAGUUAUUUUUUUUCAGGAUUUGAUGUAUUUUUGAGAUUUUUCUUUUUUUUUCCUAUGUUUUUACUUUUUUGUUUCGAUUGCAUAUUUCUUGAUCCAGUUUUUUAUUUUGAACUUGUUUUUAGUUAUUAUUUAUAGGAUUUGAUUCCUUUUAAGAUUUNUUUUUUGUUUCGAUUGCAUAUUUCUUGAUCCAGUUUUUUAUUUUGAACUUGUUUUUAGUUAUUAUUUAUAGGAUUUGAUUCCUUUUAAGAUUUUUUUUCCUAAAUAUUUUUUUUUUUCAUCUAGGGCAGAUGCCAAGUGUUUGGCAAUGAAAACAUUUAGAGUUUCUUGUUGGAAUUGGAAUCCAAAAACACUAAUACUGCUAGCUUCAGCAUGGCACCACAAUCACUUUUAAGUUUUAAGUUGAAAGUUGAAAUAUGUUUUUUUUAACUUGAGAACCUAUAUGCAUGUGCUUUCUUUACUUUUUGAUAGUUAUUUUAUUUUUGUAUGGUUAUUUUAGAGUUUUUUUAAUGUGAAAUAUAAAAUUAAAUUAGAUUUAGUAAAUAUGCGCCUCGCCUUCUUGAGGCGCGCGCCUCGCAGUGCGCCUCGCGCCUAGUCUCCAAAAAGGUCUUGCGCCUUUUUGCGCCUCGCGCCUCUUCAAACACUGGUGGUAGGAUUGUCGGCUAGUUGCCGAAGGUUGGCUGUUGAGCAUAUCAGCAUCGAUCGCCCGAGACUCGUUCGCAUUUCACGAUCACCAGCGGUCUAAUCCACCGCAAGAGGGUGUUCUUUUUCGGAAAAGUGGUUGGAUUUGCCGACCCGUGAGCCCAGAGGCAUAGUCUGGGUCAUAUACAAGUAGAGUGGCAGUGGGCACAGGCUUGAGGUCUGCGGUGCGGACCAAUAGAGAACAGAUUUCAUAUUGGGUAUUUUUGGACUUAUCGUCCGGUUGAUGCAUACAUACAGUAGCGGUAGUUAUGCAUUUGUAUAUCUCGUUCAUUUAUUUAUCAUUGCUACUGUAGUACCAUACAGGCCUGAGGUGUGCGGACCAAUAUGGCUGUUUCAGAUUGAGUAUUUUUGGACUUGUCGUCCGGUUGAUGCAUACAUACAGUAGCGGUAGUUAUGCAUUCAGAUAUCCUGUUCAUUUAUUAUCGUUGCUACUGUAUUUGACUUACCCGUAUUGUUGUUUAUCCUCCUUGACUGGUGUGUACUUCUCGCCUUCGUCGGCUUACGGUACCCACUGGGAGGGGAGACAUGUUUACAUGUUCUCACCCCCCCCACCAUUUUUUAGGUAUUGUGGCAGUGAGGGUUGAGACGAGACAUGAGACACGUUCGUAGCGGUCGAUAAAGUUUCCGGCCCGGUGACAUUCGGUCUAAUUUCUAUCCUUACUUAUUCAGAAUAAAUAACUUAAACUUGAUGGUUCAGUUGGCUUUCAUUUGCUUGAAUAAAUGUGACUUUGGUGAAUGAAUUAAAGAACUUAUGGUUUUUUUUAGAUGAAAACGGUUUUCUACCCCUCGUGGUAGCGUGUUUUAAAGAAAAGAGUUUCCGUGUGGGAAACGGUUUUGAAAAGGUUUUUGUUGGUUUUCAUAACUCUUAGUAAUUCAAAAUAAGUUUUCAGGUGGGAAACAUUUUAAACUGAUAGAUGUGCAUUUAUGGAUAUUUGUAAUGAAAUGAAUGUAAUGUGAAUAGUGAAUGUAUGUGUAUGCUCAUACUGUUACGGUUGUAUAUUGUGUUUGUGCGAUCAGUGCAAAUACAGAGGAGACUCUGUCCGUGUGAACAGUAGAUUUUCUGUAUUUGUGGCGAAUCUGGCAUACUCUGGGGUCACGUUUUCAAAAUAAAAAAUUGGACACUUCCGCAUUGGAUCUUAAAUCCAAAGGGACCCCAGGGCGUGACGCUAGCUGUCACGGUAGGGAUUCCGCACACCUCCCUGAUCGAGGUUGGUAUGGUUUAUCGUGUAUGAUGUUCUUUAAAGUCGGAUUCCUUCCGUGUGUAGAGUUAGAAGUUAAAGCGCACGAAAGGAGCUGGGAAAAUUAGUCACCACCAAACCUUUCUUCGCUUUUGAAAUUGUCUUAUGCUGCCUAUGAAGAUCAUAAGUGAAUCUGUUCAGAUAUUGAUAGUAUUUGCUCCAGAUGAUUUAACCUCUUGUUAGUAUAUAUGGGGGUUGAAGGGAAAAGGAGCAAACGGAAAAAGAGGUGCUAUUUUUUGGGCCUUCUUUGCAUACUUGAGGACUUUGGCAAUUUUUUGUUUAUAAUGUAAUGCAAUUAUGGCAAUUUGUGUUGCUGUUUGUUGUUUCUAACCUGCACCAUAGUUCUAUCGGCUCCUUUAAUGUUACCUUGGAACAAGUAGAAGUUUGGAUGGCUGACUUAUAGGCAACCACUUUUUAUUGUUCUUAUCAAUGGUGGCUAUUGGUUAUGUACUUAUUUGUGGGGGACUGCAGCUAUGUGUGUUCGGCUAUGGUUCUGGUUGCGCAUUAGUCAUUCUCAGUAAUCGACUGCUCCAAAUACUAUGUAUUUAUGACAGGCAUUGCCAAUCCAACUUUCUUAUUGCAGAUUUUAGGUGUAAUCAUAUUGAGAUCAUUGCAAGAUGAUUUUGGAAAUCAUAUUGAGAUCAUCUCAAGAUUAGGCAUGGUGUUCCUUCGUCUAUAAAACCGACCUGGUAUAAAACAGCUUGAAAAUAGUUUUAAUAAGAACCAUGGCCAAAAUACCCUAAAUUUAUCUGGGAGGUACAGGGCUCCUUUAUUUUCUUUUCACAUUAUUUUGAAUCUCUCCUUACUUUGUAAUUGUCCUUUAUGUCCUUAGUUUUUAUUGAUAGGUAACUCUUAGCUUUUUGAAUUUUUGUAUGUUAUUUAGUAAUAAUUUUUCCUGCGAUCUACUUUGUUCUUCAUUAAAUUAUUUUGAUUAUUCUUGGGUUCAUGCGAUUGUAGUUAUCAAACAGUUUGUAUAAAAAACUUAUCAAAUAGUUUGCUUAUUUUGAUUAGAAGAGAACUUUUGUUUUAUUUGUUAUUUUGAUUGCUUAAGAUAUUCAAUCAUUAAAUUUUAGGAGAGAACUUUCGUUUUAUUUGUGGCUUUUGUUUUAUUUGUGAGUUUAGAACCAUUUUACCUGGUUGCCUUUUGACUGAUCGAUUAGCUAUCAUUUCGCUUUUGUCCCAGUCCUUUAUUGCUUUGUGAUUUUUCCAAUAUUACGUGAUUUCCUUGAUUUCUUUAUGCUCCUGUUCAGUUUCUUCCUCUUCUUGAGCAAAGUGUGAAAAUAUUGCCUUGGAACAAGCGGAAGCUUCCAUAACAAUUUUGCAUAGUGUGGGAUUGCAUGCUUUUUGCAUUCUUUCCAUACUCUUUUCUUCAGCAGUGAUGACUCAGAGGGUAAAAGAAAAAAGAGGCGGGCCCGGUCUACAUACUCAACUCAUUUGCUCUUAGGCCAAAAAUGAAUUAGAAGGAAUAGGCUUCAUUCCAGGUUUUUCUAUUGCUGCUAUUCUAUAACUUAUUUUCCUACUCGCGACUUAUACUGUCUUGAUAUUUUUUUUCCUUUUCCUUUUCAAUCCACAAAAAUUUAUUUAGAUUUAUGUUUGUAAUACCACCCUUUUUCUUUAAUUAAUACUAAUUUCUUGAAUGUAUUUUUUUGGGGCAAUGAUGAUAGAUGAAAGAAAAGAAAUAGCUUUGGGAGGGAUAAUCCCUACGCAACUGGCUUCAAAUGUCCUCUAGGUCCAUAAGGAGGCCUAUUUUCCUCCUCUCGACUCAUGAUUUGCUGAUAUUUUUCAAGACAUUUUUCUUUCAGACGGCACAUAUUUAUUUAGAUUUAUUACUGUAGUUUUUUUUGGCAAUUACUGUGUAAGCUAUUUUUCCAUUUAAAUUUCCCUCCAGUUGAUAAUUGGGUCUGCUUUUAGUGAGGCGUAUACAUACUAGGAUACAAUAAUACAUAAGAGUACUAAUUCGUUUUACAUUAUGCUUUGUUUGAUGUCAAUAUUCCUGCUAUGAAGUUAACAUUGUAAAUAAAAUUUUAAAUAAAUCAUAAUGAUCUAGAAGCUGAAAGGAUAGGGGAAUAUAUUUGUUUUUGCUAUUCGGUUCCCUGAUACUCUAUAAAUAUACCUACAUCUAUGCAAAGAGAGCUCAAGCCGCUCAUACCCUCUCUCUUUUGUUUGCUGUGUUUGUUCGCUGUGAUGACCUUUCCUGUGAUGGCAAAAGGUUGCCACCUGCUAUAAUGACCGUUCCCUUGAAUGUCGGAUUCUUUCCAAUAAUUAGAAGGCGUGCUUCUCUUCCUAACUAAUAACGAGCAAACUUCGGAUGGCCUGUCUACAGGCAACCAGUUGCUCGCAUUGAUUCUGUGAUGUAUAUUUUGGGCUCGCAUUGAUUAGAGGGCUUCAGAGUAAAUCUAAUGAUGCUCAAUUCAUAGGAAAGUCUGAGCAAAAUAUAUUUUUGUCUUGACACUUUGGUAGAUGAUACGAAUAAUACUAAUUAAUUGGUAGAUGCUAUCCCAAACAUGCUAUUUAUUUGACUAUUGUGAUAUUUUCGAAUUUAUGCAUUUACAUAUUCCUCAGUUUCCAUGUUACUUAUUUCUCAACUCGUCCCUUUAGUUCUAUUGCUAUUCCUUACAAUCUCUAAAUGUAAGACGGUGAUGAUAAGAGCCACUCUCCUAUGAGGUCUCCUACUUUCUAUCAACAUUUACUACGAUGCCUGCAACCUCCCCCUUCAUGGCCUGCUCCUUAAAUGUCACAAGUUCUGAACAAAUUUUAGAUGAUAGUCUAUUUUGGAAGUUAGUUUGAACUUCAACUCUUUCAUGGUGCUAGGCCAAAAAUAAUUAGGCUGAACAUACUGAUGCUUGGUUUCUGGGGUUUUCAAAGAAAAAUAUAUUAUAGUUCAGUUCAGGUUUUACUUACCUGUUUUGCUAUAUAUUAUGUUGGUCACAUUGGUAAAUGACCCGAAUAAUACUGAAUAAUUGGCAAACGUGAAGAAUUAAACUCACGAUAUCUUGAAAUUAAGUAGGUUUUUGACUAACUCUAUUAUUAUGUUAUUAGAAGCUCAAACUGGUGGAGCACAAUCCAUGAACAAUCUUAACAUCUUUGCUCAACUGUAUAAUGGGAUUUACUGAAUCAGAUUUGUUAUAUAAAUGAUGAGAAUAUUCAUUGAGUAUUUACUAAAUGGACUAGAUUCAAAAUCAUGUUACUAAUUAGAUUGAUUUGGUUGGAAGAGAUCAGAAAUAGUAUGAUCAAUUGGUGUGUUUUUUUCCUGAUUUUGAGUGUUGAUUAAUUUUGCAGUGCAUUACACUCGGACGCUUAUUGACGGGACCAAGUUCGACUCAACCCGGAAUCGUGGGACGCCCUCAAAGUUUAAGCUUGGUCAAGGUGAAUUUUGAGAGUGCAACUGUUGAUUAGGGAUGAAAUUUGUAACGCAACUUAUUAUAAUGUAAAUCCGAUCAAGCUGUUUCAAUUUGUACAUCAUCAAUAAACUGACAAAUUCAUAAUGAUUUGUUCUCUGUGGCAUUGUUUUUAAUUGAUUGAGCUGAUUUUUUUCAUCCAAUGGAGUAUGUUAAACAAGUUCAAUUUAUCUUGAUCGAACUCAACAGGCUCAGAUUGAGAUAGGUAUCUAUACAAUCACGAUGCGAAAUUAUAUUUUUGAUAUUAAGGUUUAUGCUCUAUUGGUGCAUAGUUUAAUCAUGUAUAGGAUAAUUGAUUUCCUGCAUUAUGAAAACACAUUAACCAGAUUAUUCUUUUGACAACCAGACUAUUUACUUGACUAAUGUGAUAUUUUCAUAUAGGUAUUUACAUGUUCUCCAGUUUUAAUGUCACUUAUUUUUCCUAUACUGUUUUGUGCGAAUUCCGAACCGCUAUUUUAGUACUGAAUUAUUCAUGCCCUGUCUUUUUCGUCUUUUUCUGAAAUUGCCUUUAUAGUUAACUGCUAUUUUCGGCCGCAUUAACCACCAACCCCUUCCCUCCUAAAACCAAAAAACUGUGAGACCCCUGGUGUUCAGCGGUGAAGGCUUGUCGACAACUCUGGAGAGUGUCGAGACAAGUCUGAGUCGCGUUGGCGCGAAAUAGACGCUAAACGGACUCUGUGCGACGCGAGAGCAGCAUUUAGCAAAAAAACCUGCAAAAAAGCUGAUUUUCUGCUUGCUGUACCGGUACAGCCAUCAUGGCGUACCGGUACACCGCACAGGUUGUGCGCAAACUGCUCUCGGGUUGGCUUAUUGUACCGGUACGCGAGCCCGUGUACCGGUACGCCAGUGUAGGUAGGAGGACUUUUUGGUCUUUUUCCACCUCGUUCGUGUCACCCUUUCCCUCUCUCUCUAUUUAGACUUACGUAGAGCUGAGAGAGAGAGUUUGUACUGUCCUUCUACUCCUCUCUCUCUAGCUUCGAUCGUGAGCCAAUGAGGGAGCUCGGGUGGAGGGCACUAGUGCGACGUCAAUAACGGCGAAGAUCCACGCUCGCCCGGCCUCCUUGCGAUGAAACGGCGGCAACCGUAUCCCCAAACGGCUCCGCGGCGCGACGUCGGCGACGAAAGCUCCAACCGAGCUCCCUCCCUAGCCUACAAUCGGUUUGAGAGUGAGAGAGAGGAAGAAGAAGCAGAGGAACUCUCUCUCUCUCCCCACACAAGGCUAAAUAGAGAGAGGGAGAGCUAGUGACACAAACGAGGCUCAAAAAGACUGAAAUGCCCCUCUACCUACCCAGGCGUACCGGUACACGGGCCGGAGUACCGGUACAAAGGCUAACCCGAGAGCAACCCGCGCGCAGCCUGAUGAAGCGUACCGGUACACCUUAAUGGCUGUACCGGUACAGCAUGCAGAAAAACUGCUAUUUUGCAUAUUUUCUUGCCAAAUGCUACACUCGCGUCGCAAAGAGUCCGUUUUGCGUCUAUUUCGCGCCAACGCGACUCAGACUUGUCCCGACACUCUCCAGAGCUGUCGACAAGCCUUCACUGCCGAACACCAGGGAUCUCAUAGGUGAUUUGAUUGAUGUUCUCACCGGGGUGCUAGCUCCCUUUCAAAGGACAUUUUUCUUGCUAGAGAAAAAAAGAAGAAGAGGGAGGAGAGAGAUGACGGCUAGAGUUUUAUAAAAACUCACAUAUUUCAUCAAGAGGGAUAUAAUCCCUUUUAUAAUAAUAUAAUUACAAUUAAGGAUAAAAAUAAAUCUNGUAUAUAUAUACAUAUAUAUAUAUAUAUAUAUACAGCAGUGAAGGCUUGUCGACAGCUCUGGAGAGUGUCAGGACAAGUCUGAGUCCCGUUUGCGCGAAAUAGACGCAAAACGGACUCUGUGUGACGUGAGAGCAGCAUUUAGUAAGAAAAUCUGCAAAUAGCUGAUUUUUCUGCUUGCUGUACCGGUACAGCCAUCAUGGUGUACCUGUACACUGCACAGGGCUUCGCGCAGGUUGCUCUCAGGUUGGCCUCUGUACCGGUACACGGGCCCGUGUACCGGUACGCCAGGGUAGGUAGGAGGACUUUUUGGUCUUUUCCCACCUCGUUCGUGUCACCCUUUUCCUCUCUCUAUUUAGGCUUGUGUAGAGCUGAGAGAGAGCGUUUUCACUGUCCUUCUUCUCCUUUCUCUCUAGCUUGGACCGUGGGCAAGGAGGAGCUCAGGUGGAGUUCGUUCGUCGCCGACGUCGCGCCGCGAAGCCUUUUGAGCGGGUGUUCGUUGUUGUGGUGCUGCGAGGAGGCCGGGCGAGCGUAGAUUUUCGUCGUUCCCGACGUUGUGCCGGUACGAGUUUGAUUUUUGAGGUGAGUGAUCCGUCGAAAUCGUCGCAACUACUUCAAGCUCAAGGAUGCUGUUUUUGCAGAUUUCCUCCGUCGACCGUUGGUGUUUCGGCUCGUGUGCGAUGUAGGAGCAUCAGUUUGUAGUGAGACUUGGUUCAUUGGAUUCAGGACUUCGAGAGGAAUCCACGAAGCCUAAGAUUACAGGAUUUGGUGAAGGUUAGCUUGGUCGAACCUUUAUUUUACUCUGCUGUUGCUAUACGUGGACAGAAUUGAUGGAUUUUGAUUGUAGAGCUUGGAGUUAGCUUGAUUUCUGGAUUUGGAGGACUUCGGUCGAUCCAGCAGGUUGUUCCGCAGCUGAGGGGGUUCUUUGCUGCCAGGGAUUAACUCUCGAGGUAGGUUACAUCGGUUUAUUCCUAAGCACAGUAUUAGUCGACAUGUAUGAUUUUCAGUUUUUAUAAAUCAUGUUGUAGCUCAUUUUCGUUGAUUGUAUCAUGGAUAAAAUCAGCAUGGAGGACAUGAUUAGUAAACCAGAAAUAUACAUGUUGGACUUAGAAAUUGACUUAGGAGAAAACCAGCGAUUUGGACCUGUCACUUGUUUACACUACCUGAUUUAGCUUUAGAAGCCGUUGUACUUUUGUAUUGUCGCAGUAUCGAGGCGACGGAUACCCCAGGUAGUUUAGCUCUCUGUUACGCUCGUGCUGGGAUGCCGAGUGUAUUUUUUUCAGUAGCGUUCAGGCUGUUCCGGACUGUUGGAUGCCGUCGGGGGUGACGAUGGACCCAUAUCGCCUUUUUGGCGUUAGAUUGUGCCGAGGGCACGUGACUGUUGGUUGUUAGACCAGUUAGUAUCGGUUACUUGGACUUUGGCUUGAGAGAGCCUAUUGAGCUCGACAGAGAUACGCUGCAUACUCGGUUGGGUAGCUCUCCCGAGUGCCACUCCGGAGAUGGGCACUGUGCUUUCGCGUUGGUGUCGUGCAUGCCGGUUUGACUUGCUCCCCUCGGACUGGUUAGUGUGGAGGUAGCUGGAUAGUCUCAACUGGGCGGGACGGGUGUGUUCACAGUCCCUGGGGCGGAUAUGUUUACAGUCCCUAAAGAAAUUUGGUCGGAAUUCACAUUACUACAAUAGGUCAGAGUAGAGCAUAAUAGUGUAAUAAAUGAUAGCUGUAGAUUUUAUUCCAGCAUUUACUGCUACUUUUGUUCCCUUCUGUAGACUUAGUGGGUGGACCGAUGUUGUUGAGGGCGGCACCCACUGAGGACUACUUGUUUUUACAGUAGUUCUCACGCCCUGUUGUUACCCCGUUUUUGCAGAGCCAUCGUCUUCGGCUGCUGCUGUUGCUGAUCAGGAUCGAGGCAAGGGCGUCGCGAGUUAGAACCCUACCCGUCGUGCCGAGCUAGAGGUGCCCUACAGCAGGUAGUUGUUUUGGCUGGAGUUCAUGUACAUACAGCUUUUAACUCGCCAGCGCGAGUAAAUUUUUGUACCGUGGUUCUGAUGUAUGUAUAUGGAAUUCAGUUUAUUUUUUUUUACUGAUUCUUCUAGCAACUCUAUACUACUGUUUGUAGUAUUGUAUGUUUUACAGGUACAGCUAUCGCUUCAUAUACAAAAAAAAUUUCUUUGUAUACGACGGAUUUGUCGGCGUGCCCGGGGAACGUGUAAUCCGGGGCACGACAUUACGAAUAAAAUUUUAGUUUUUUUCGAUAUCGUUUACUUAGUAAAUAAAUUAUGUCAAAAUGGACGGUGGAAAUUGAAUAUUCUUUAAAAUUUGAGCAUAGGACUUUUAAAUUCAAGAUCAAGAAUGUUGAAGUUUAAAAUUUAAAUUUAAAUUUAAAAAUUAAAAAUUUUAAACUUAAAUUUAAAAAUUUAAAUGAUAACAACGGAAAUAUAGAAAUAUAUUUUUAUAUACUUUUAUCUAAAUUUUAGUAAAUAAUAAUGAACAGUCUAUUUAAAAUAUUUUAAAAAUUACAUAAAUUUAUCGCCGCGAAGCGUGGGCCUGCACAAGUGUAAAAAAUAGAAUGGUUCCGUAUAAGAGAGGUUAAUACUACAGACGUGGAAUAGGAUUUUGAAAGAAGAAAAGGGGGAGAGAGGAAGAAAGGAAUAGGUGGUAAAUUUGUUUUCAAAACAUUUUUAAAAUUUUUGCAAAUGGAAAAUCCCUUUCUUUCACUCACGCGUUUUUACUCUUACCAUCUCUCCACUCGAUCUCUCACGCUUUUUUCCUCCCCCCAUCUACUCUCUCUCUCUCUCUUAGGGAGACGACGAGGACUAGGAGGUGAGGCCGCGGACCGCGAGCUCUCCCGCAGGGAAGACGACCAGGACUAGGCGGAGGUGAGGCGGUGGUCCGAAUUAAAUAGCUUAAGCAAUUUAGAAUUUUAAUUCAAUGUUAUCUUUUUGAUUUAAAACUGAUGUCAUAAUUUACCCUUUCGCAGAAAAUGUAAUGGAGACCUAAUUCUGACCUCGCUAUUCUAAAUAUUGUUUAUUUCUACACUUUUCAGAUUAUAAACCGAGAUAAUAAAUCAUCGAUGAAACUUACGUUGUAAUUAUUCCAUAAACCUGCCUAAUUAAGUUAUAUUAACAACUUUAACACUUUUAGAAUUAACAUCUGAGCUGGUGUUAUUUUAAUUCAAAAUUUUGGAGGUGAUAAAUGGAAUAUUACAAAAUCCAAAAAACUCUUUGUUGGAAAUGUUAUAAACCCUUCUACGCUACCUGCCUUUAGAAAUGCAUGUCCAACAUGAAACUUCUUUUUCUUUUUUUUUUGAGUUGAGAUUCUUUUAAAAAUUUUUUGAAUCAUUGACAGUAGUUAAAAGAAAAAAGGAACAUUUAUCAGCCGAUUGAUGAUUUUAUAACUUUAAAAAUGUUAAUGUUUAUUAAUAUAAUUACGGGAUAGAAUAAUCUAGUUAAAGUCUUGACCAACUAAAUAAUCAUAUAAAAAUAAAUAAAUAAAUAAAAGAAAAGUUAGAGUUGAUUACCAAUCCAAACAAAAAAGUUUAGAGAUCAUUUGGGAAUGAUCUAUAGUUUCGAGCGGUCCUCCGUACCUUUUUCGGAAUUUCUUUUUUUUAAGGCUGACUAUUCUAUGAAAAUGAUUUAUUACACUAAUCCUAUUCAAAUUGUCAUCAAGAUCAAACAUUGCUUCUAACGAUCUUGUGAUUUUUUGUUUUCUUAUUACUAGAAUUUUUUAAAAUAUUGGAGAACUCUACACCACGCCCAGUGACGUGGACUAUAAAGAUAACAAUUAGCCUCUUAGUGUACAGCUUAAGGAUGUUGGGCCUACAAUUCGCAAAAAAGUAUUAGAGCCAACAAAUGAAUAUAAUUUUUUCAUAUAGAAUGAUUGCAAAAAUCUGUUUCUUUAGAUUAGAUUUUUUAUUUUAAGGACCAAAAAUAAGAAACAACAAAAUUUAAUUUCUUAAAAAUCUGAUUCUGAAUUAUAAAUUAUGCACCAAAUCAUAGAUUCCGAAUAAAUUGUCAAAUUGCAGUUCUAAUAUUUCAGUAUUAUUAAUCUUAUUUUAAAAUUUACAUUUACACCAAAUUUUAAAAUUUAAAAUUUAAAAUUAACAAUUUUUUGUUAAAAUUUAAAAAUAUAAAUAUUUAAAAUUUUAUUUUAAACUUUAAAUUUAAUAUUCUAUAUUUAAAAGGUAAAUUUUAUUUUAAUUUAAAAUUUAUAUUGAAUGUUUAAUAAAAAUUUCAGUCUUCAAUAAUAGCAAUUUAAGAUAUUAAAUUUCUUCAAUUUAAACAUUUAACAUUUCAGUUUUAAAUUUUAAAUUUAAAAUUUGCAAUUUGUUAAAUAAAUAUUUUGGAUCUAAUCAUUAAAAUUUAGAUCUACAAUUUCAAUUAAUUUUGAUUUUGCAAAAUUAAUCUAACUCUUAAUUAAAAAAAGUACAAAGGCGAUCGAGAAAGGAUCCCAGAAAUCUGAAAAAAUUAAAGAAGAAGGGCCUAUUUCGGAACAGCCUUUCAUUUCGUUCAUCUUUUUUUUUUUGAUAGAAAGUAAUUAAAAGUAAUUGCUUAUUAUAUUGUCCUAAUGUCUUUACCACCCUGUAACUUUCGGUCCCGAAUAUAAUUUCGUUAUUAAUCUUAACUUUAUAUUUAUCUACGUAUUCCGCAAUCAUCAAUUUUUACUUUAAUUAAAACUUGUAUGUGUGAUAACAACAUUGUAGCCGUGGUAUUAUGGAUUGCACACAUCCAGCUAGCACAGCAUAGCAUAUAUAAAGAAUUAGGCCAAUCAAAGUGCCUGUGUGUAAAUAAGUUUGAAUAAACAUUUAGCUUAACCCCUUUUUGGCCGUGGUCAUCCAUAGCGCUUUGUUUUCUGUAGGCGUCAUUUCGUCCAAACAGAUUUAGGAAGUGUGCAAUAAUAACGCUUCUAUACACUAUGCAUACCAAAUCAAUAACACCAUCUGUCCAAUAGUGCGGCGAAAGAAGACAGGAAAAGUUGGACAUUCACAGAAACCUAGGGUAAGAGAAACCUCAUAGCAGCACAGUAGACGAACCGAUACAGAGGCUCAAUACUAAUCGGUUUAAAAUAAAUACUUGGCAAUAUUUUAGAAAUUGUUCACUAAAAUUAUUGAGACCUGACAUCGCUAAUUCUCCAUCGCGUAGAUUACAAAAAAAUAAUACCGUGAACAGUUUAAAAAUUUUUAUGAUAUUUUAAAUUCCAUCCUUCUAGAUCGAUUCCCCUGUUGCUUUGCGCCUCCUUCCCGGCCUCUGGGCCGUUGCUCCAUGACAUUGCACGAGAAGUACCCACAACUUUUCUUUUUUAAUAUGAAAAUAUUUAUUAUUUAUUUACAUUAUUUGCUUAUUGCAGGUUAAAUACUAUUAAGAGAGUUCUGGAUAGAUUCUUGAAAGUUGAUGCGUUCUACUUUGGUGCGUCAUAUUUGUCACUUUUCCUUCUCUUAUGGAAAGAUUACCGACGCCGCGCACCCAUACGACGAGAUUCGAAUCCAUAGCGAUAUUUUGCACAGCGUUCAAGCGUCUUCUCCCUGUAUGCCAUCUGUUCAUUUAGUAUACUUGCCGCACAAGUAAAGUCCAAUUCUCGUUACAGAUCACUGUACAAUAAAUUCUGUACCUAGUAGACGGACUGCGAGUUUAAUUUGUGCAUAUGAUAGUAGCCAUAACUAUUCCUACAGUCUUUCCAUCCGCUCCCUGCUUCAUUGGAUUGUUUACGGUUACGAGCAACGUGUAUUUCCACCUGCUGUAUUUUAAUGGACUUUCUAGCUUUAUACUGGUCAUUAUUGUUGAACAGUUGUUAAGAUUUAUGUUAUUACUAGCGGUCUGAGCAUAGAAUUAUCAUCUUUGUACUUCUAUUAAGCACUCUUAAAAGCAGCUAGAUAUUUUUAUUGAUCUCUGGCAAGCCAUUGCAUAAUAGCUAUUCAUGCAGUUGAGUUCACAAUUUUUUUUUUUUUUUUUGUAGCUUUUCAACUUAAGCUCGACACCUGAGUAAACAUUUUAUAUUCUAGAAUAAAUCUAUCUUUGUAAAAAAUAAAAUAAAUGCAUAUAUUUCCAUUAAUCUCAAUAUACUCACCAAUCAAAAAAUGAAUCAGUUGCAAGUUAAUCAUACAUAAACGGAGUUCAAAUGUCCCAUCUUGGGGAAGUCUUCAUUGUUUUUUUCUUUUUUCUGAUUAAGUGACUUUGUUGAUUUAAAUUUUAAAUUUAUCUAGUAAUUAAUGUUAAUGAUCCCAUUAAAUUGAUCAUUUAACUAGUUUUAAUAAAAAUAGAAAGCCAACUACUAAUUUGUGCAAACAUAUAAUUUAUUGUCAGCCUUCAUCUUUAGCACCAGCAAUUUUUGCCAACAAGUAUGGAACGAAGAGUUGGGCCCUAAAUAGGGGUAGGAGUGCAUAGAAAGGGUAAGAAACAAGGAAAAUAAAGGGAAAAGAAAAGAAGUUGAAAAGGUGGAUUUUAAAAAGAAAAGAAUUUUUAAAUUUUUUUCACUUUUGGUUAAAUCCACUGAAUUUAAAAAAUAUUUUAGAGAUCUAUAUAUUUAAAAAAAUUUAACUAUAAUUUAAAAGUUUUAAAUUUAAGAACUAAAUAUAUUUAAUAGGAAUAAAUUAAAACUUGAAAUUAAUUUAAAGUGACAUUUAAAAUGGACCACCAAGAUUAUUGUAAAAGAUGUUUUUAUAAGUUUAUCAAUAUAUUGUUCCUCUCGUCUUUAGAACAAUAAUUGACCGUUUCUCACAUAUAGGGUUGAACGGAGGGUAACUUUUUUAAAAAAAAUAGCAAAUUUAAUUUGAAGUUUAAAUUAGAACAUAUAUUUUAAUAUGAGAAAUUAUUAAAAUUUUGAAAUUUAAAUAAAUAAUAAUUAUUAUAAUUGGACCCGCUUUCAUUUCGGUCGUUAAAUUAAUUACAAAAAAAAAAAUUAAGUUUGUCAACAUUUGCCCUUCCUCUACAUCUAGCUCAAAAAAAUUGAACUUCCGCGCCAAGCUUUUACCCAUUUUUCUGAAAAAUUAAGGUACGGCAAACGGCCCCAAGCCAAUCCAAGCACCAUUGAAACUUGAUUGAGGCCCCUACUUUGCACUUGUCAUGUGCUCAUAUAUAAUUAUUAGCAUUAAAUUAUAACAAAAAUCUAUUUCUGUAUUCAAAGACUACAAGUUUGAAUCACAUCAAUUAGUUACUAAAAACAUCGAUCAUCUAUGUCAACACCUCAAAUCUCGAUAGCCUCAAUAUUAUCGGAUAAUGUAAAAACAGCUUCUUUAGGUUAAUCCUCAUGUGCUUUGUUUGGUUCGAGUAUAAAUAAAAACCAGUUGUUCCAAAAUAGUAUAAGAUGAAGGUAUAAUGGUGGUAAAUAAUUGUAUUUGGUUAAAUAUAUUUUAGCCAGUAACAAAAUAGUGUUUUGUUGAGCGUAAUGAAAAAAAGAAAGAAAUGGUAGUUUAGAAUAUAAAAAUAAUAUGCCCUCUUUAAUAUAUUUUGAAUUAUAUUUGCUUCACUACGAUAAUCAUAUGUUGUUAGAUAAAGCUAAUCACCUCUAAGAUAUAUACAAAAACAUCGAAAGACUACCAAACAUAUUUGAAGACAUCUACCUUUAAAAAAAUUCUCUCUAGAAAAUCAAAUAUAAUUAAAAUAAUAUAAGAUAAAGCUGUUCAUUAGGGUGAAACACCGACUCUUGAGCGAGCUACCUCGGCUCAAAUCGGCUUAAAUUCAAUUUCGACCCUAAAUUUAAGCUCAAACUUUGAUUGAAAUUAAUUCGACCCAGCCUCAAUUUCGAGUCGAGCGACUCCGAGCCCAUGAACAGCGCUAAAUCUCCGAACAUCAUACCGAUACAAUAGUUUAAUUUUAAGAACCAUUAUCUAAAUUUGAUAACAAAAACUAUCAUCAUAAUUCAAAGACAAAAUUAUAUAAAAUAAUAUAUAUAUAAUAAAAAAAAAAUUAUACGAUAAUAUCUAAUCUUUCCGGCCUCACAUGUCUUUCUUUUCGCCUUCAAUCUCCAUAUAUUCAUUUUCAUUAUGCAACAAAAAUAAUAUAAUUAUAUAGAAAAUUGGAUUACAAUCAUCCAAUCAUAUAAUAUACUAAAAUAAAUCUUUAUAUAAUAAUAAUUUUUACUUUAAAAAUAUUCUGUACUAUUUCUCAAGCAAUAACAAUAAUACGCCAAGGUAGCAACUGGGCGGGUAUAGUGCCUUACUGUAACUUAGGCUCCGACUUGGCCACUGUUAGGUGAGAAACAAAACAGAGAAAAGAGACGGAAAUAUAUGAAAAUUAAGACGCUCUGUGAAAAGAAAGAAAGAUAAAGUAAAAGAUAUAAUAAAUUUAUGAAAUUUGCUCUUUUAUUUGCUAUUUGGUGUUUUUAGCCAACAACCAUAUAUCCCAUUUACACCUAACUCAGAUUAUUCACUCAGCUAAUAUAUAAAUAAAAUAAUAUAUAUUAUAUAUAAUAUUAAUAAUAUAUAAUUAUAGUAUAAUAUAUAUAUUAAUAUAUAAUAUAUUAUAUAUAUAAAUUCGACUUUUGAACUUUCCGAGCCUAAUUCGAAUCGAGCAUAAUACUCAACUCGCUUGAAAUGAAUUCGAGCUUUUUUUUGUUCAACCUCUUUUUUUUGUUCAAGCUCGGCUCGUUUAAUUUCGGGUCGAGCUCGAGCGAGCCAAAUAUCGAGUCGAACGCGAGUCGAACGUAAGCCGGCUCGCUCAUUUGCCGGCGCUAGUUGCAGCGCACUUUAAUAGCUACCAUAAAAAAACACAAGUUUUAAUGUCACAUAUUUUUACAAAAAGAACUUAUCUUUUCAUGAAUAGUGAAAAGACAUAUCUUUUCACAUUAUUGAAAAGACAUUUUUUCACAAAAUAAUUCAUUUCUUAGUGAAGAAAUAUACUCUUUGUAAGGAGACACGUCUAUUUGCAUCAAAUAAAAAAAUAAAUUUUUUUUUAUAAGAAAACCUAAUUUACGAAAAAGACAACUAAUUAUUUAUUUUUAGUUUUAAAUAUUUUUUUAGUUUCAUUAUUAUUUCUGAUAUUACAAUCUACACAAAUUGUUGGAAUGAAUUAAUUUUUUUUUUAUGAGAAUUCUUUUUAUCAUGCGCAUCUUUUAAACAUAUUAUAUUCUAUUUUUAGGCUCAUGCUGCAUGGAUUUUAAAAUAUUGUAGAACGGCAUUCAAUAUACAGCAACCAGGAGAUGUAUCUCAAAAGAUUAAUUUGCUAAAUUUUUCUCUAAUCCUCGUAGUUAUUGGCCCUCAAAUUAAAUAGUUGAUAUUUCCUUUAUUGUUGACUUAUUAUUUUUUUGUUUUAAAGAAAUAUAAUUAUCAAUCAUUAUCCAAUAACACUCAUGAAAAUUAUACCUUCGUCAACUAAAUAGCAUUCAAAAUAGUUAAAUUCAACAUAAUAAGUCAUAAAUAAUAAAAAAUUUCAAUUUGAUCGACGUAAAUAGAUAACUAAAAUAUACAAAAGUUAUGGUAUGUCGAUUUAACAAAAAAAGGCUAAAAUGUCUAUUUCAAAAUUCAAAAUUACCUACUAUUGACAGAGUCCAAAAACUCCAAACUCAAAGUUAUGGUGUGUCAAUUAUUUUAAGAAAAGGACUAAAAGGUCUAUUUCAAAAUUCAAAAUUACCUACUGUUGAGUGUUGACAGAGUCAGAUUCUAACUAUAUAUAGUUUUGCCCCAAAGUAAAUUCGGUUGGUAGAAAAACAAAGAAAGGAAAUUAAGGUGACAAAUUGGCAAAUUGCCUAGGUACCAGAGCUUAUGCAUAACCAGAAUAGUAAAUAUCUCAAAAAAUAUCUCAUGACAGUAAUGUCGCCCAAAAAAUUAAAAUUUUAAAUUCAAAGUUUUAAAAAAUAAACAAAUAACUAUCUCUAAAGCUUAUAAAUAACUUCACAAAUUAACCUCAUAAGUUCAUAUUUUCUUAAUUUANUAUUUAUAAAAAUAUUAAAAUUUUAAAUUAUUUUAAAAUUUUAAAUUUUUUGGACCAAAAUGCCCUUCCCAACAGUUAAAACUUUGACUGCUGGGAAGGGCAUUUUGGUCCAAUAGGCUAUCUCCCUUGGAAGAGCCCAAAGUCAAAACCCAACUCCCAAUGUGCAUUGGGAGUUGGGGUGCUGCAGGGGCCUUGGGAGUUGGGUACAACCCAACUCCUUGCCGCGCCCGGUUUGGGAGGCACUUGCUACACAGGCCGGGCCGGGCCGUGCCGUGUCGGGCCACCGGGCCGCGGGAGUAAGGUCCAGCACGACCCGGUUCAACUGGCCGGGCCGGCCCGGCACAAAUGCUACAGUGCUCGUGCCGUGCCUGGCCCGGGCCGCGCGGCCCGUUUGACACCCCUAUUCUUACUGUUAUUUUUUCGAUUGUUAUCAUUAAGUGUUCUCUAAUUAAAAUUCUAUUUAUCCGCUGCAUCUAUGUUCCGCUACUCUUAGGCUGUUAUUUCAUCUAAUAUAUUUAAUAAAUUUUUAUGAGAAAUUUUUUUAUCAUGUACAUAGAUCUUUCCGGACAGAACAUUUUCAAUAGUUAAAUUUAAUUUGCAAAGUUUAAAGCGGCAUGAUAUAAAAUUCAAUAUUUGAUAUAUAGUGAGUGUCGAGCUGCAUCUCACGAGAUCAGUUUGACUAAAUUUUUAUCGGAUGCUUUCAGCUUUUUGUCCUACAAAAUUCUUCUUUCAAUUUUUCAUUAAUUAUGUUAAAAGAAAAAAAAUGUUCUAAAAUCAAUUAUUAACAAUUAAUGAAUAAUAAUGUACAGUUGUCAAAACUCAUACUUUCAUCAAGUAAUAGCAUUAAAAACAGUUAAGUUUACCGUGGUCUUAAAUUAAAUAAAAAUUUUACUUUAAUAACCUAAAUAAUUUAAAUUAUAGGUAAUGAAGGUUAAGAAUGUAAAUUAAAAGAAAAACAAUUAGCUAAAGGGUAUGUUUCAAAAAUCUCUAUAGUUGGAGGAUUCAAGUACAUUUUACCGAAAUUCAAAUGAAAGCCAGAAAAUUAAGAAAUGAUGGGACACUGGGACACAGCAAACAUCAUAUUUAACUAGCGAAGAGGCCCGCGCUUUGCAGCGGGUAGAAGCUGUAGUAGUAAUUAAUAAUAAUAAAAUAUCAAAUAUUUUUUUGUAUAUCUCACUUGGUACAUCUACCAAAAGUCUCUCACUGUAGACAACAGAUAUUAACCCAACGAUGGAGAGAGAGAAAGAGAGUAAAAUGGCUCAUUUUAAAUAAAAAUUAAAUGGGAGAGAUGAAGAGACGUAUGUUGAGAGAGAGAGAAUAAAAUGGGGGAGAUAAGGAGACGUAUGUUGAGAGAGAGAGAGAGGCAAAUAGCUCAUUCUAAAUAAAAAUUGAAUGGGGGAGAUGAAGAGAGGUAUGUUGAGAGAGAGAGUAAAAUGGUUCAUUCUAAAUAAAAAUUAAAUGGAUGAGAUGAAAAGACGUAUGUUGAGAGAAAGAAUAAAAUGGCUCAUUCUAAAUAAAAAAAAAUUCAAAAUUAGGAGGUUAUGACACAUCAGCUUAAAGCAUUGGAGAUUCAUAAAGAGUAAUAGAUAACAUUGAAAUCAUCAAUCCAACAUUCUAAACAUUACAAUGUUUACCCCCUCCCUUUUAACCACAAAUAAAAAAUUUCCCUUAUAGGGUGGGAUUAGCUAACCCCACCCCACCCCAGGAAUAGGGUUGGAAUUAAGUUAAUCUCACCCCUAUUUAAUUUUUAAAUAUAAAUAUAAAUUUUAAUUUUUAAAUUUAAAAUUUUAAAAAUUUAUAUUUAUUUUUAAAAAUUUUAAAUUUUAAAUUUUAAAUUAUUAUUUUUAAUUAUUUAAAUUUUAAAUUUGAUAUUUUAUAUUGACUUUUAAAUUUUUUAAUUGAGAUUUUAAAAUAUAUGAUUUAUUUUAAUUUGAAUUUAAUUUUAAAAUUUAAAAUAUUUUUAAUUAUUUAAUAUGUAAAUUUUUGACUAUUUUUAUAUUGUAACUUUAAAUUUUAAUUUGAAAUUUAAAAAUAUAAAUUUUAAUUAUAUUUUAAAAUAUUAUUAUUUUUAAUUAUUUAAAUUUUAAAUUUAAUUUAUAUAUAAUUGGGGCAAUACAUUAUUUUCUAUUUAUACAAAACAAUGUCCUUCUUAUUCACCUACUCCAAUCAAAUACUAUUUUACUUAUACCUAAACUAAACUCAAUUCUCACCAAACACAAAAUUAUUCUAACCCCACUUAAUCCUGAACUUAAUCCUAUCUCUGGAAUAACAAGUUCUUACUUAAUCCCAAUCAAACGAAGAAGUCACAUACAUGAAUGAAUACAUUAUAUAAAUAAUAGCAAAUUAAAAACGUCUCUCUAAAUUAAUUACUGACAGAAAAUAGUACCAUCUGAUCUACACCUUAGGGCCUAUUUGGAUAUUACAGCAAAAAUUCUCACGAAAAUUAUAAACUGUGGUUUUUGGACCUUUGUCCAAUGAAAUAGGAAAUCUGUAACUCUAAAGAUUCCGCGGAUUCAAUUUUUAAAGCUGUUUGGAUGCGCAUUGUGCAAUUUCACGAAUUUCUCUAAUUUUAAAUUUUCAAAUUUUCAAUAAAUUUAAAUUUAAAAUUUGAUAUGUGAAAUGUGUAAUUUAAAUUUUUAAAUAUUAAAAAUUUAAAAAUAAAAAUCUAAAUUAUUUUUUAAAAUUUUGAAAUUUAAAAUUUUUAAAAAUAAAAAUUUUAAUAUUUUAUAUUAAUUUAGAAUUUUAAAUUUUAAAUUUAAAAAAUAAAUUUUAAAUUUAAAGUUCAAAUUUGAAAUUUGAACAAUGAGAUUUGAGAUUUGAAUUUCAAAUUUAAAAUUUAAAAUUUAAAAUUUAAAAUUUGACAUUUAAAUUUAAAAUUAUAAAAUUUAUGAUAUUUAAAAUUUAAAAUUUAAAAUUUAAAUUUAAAAUUUAAAUUUAAAUUUAAAAAUAUGAAUAUAAAUUAAAUUGUAAAUUUUUAAAUUUAAAAUUUAAAAUCUAUGUUGAAAUUUAAAAUUUCAUGUUGAAAUUUAAAAGUUAGAACUUAAUGCACCUUUGUCCAAGAAUGAUGAAAUUCUUUUUCUUUGGUUAAAGUGGAUUAUAAUUUUACUUCAUUUUUUGGUGUAUAGUUUAACUAUAUUCCAAAAAUUACGGAAUUUUUUUUUCUUCCAAACGCUUAAUAAGAUAAAUUUUCUACCGGUAUAGCAUAUUAACUAUGCUAUGUUUUUAAGGGCAUCCAAACGGGGCCUUAUAUAGUACAUGCAAUACUAGGCCAAUACUAAUCAAGAGUAGCCGCAUAGUGGAAACGUCAACCUACUUCGCCAUACUUGCUACUGCUUGAAUUUUAAAAAAAAUUGAUUAUAAACAAUCAAUAAUAAGAAGAAUAGGCACACAAAAAAUAUAUUUUUAUUUAUUGGUUUUCAAGUAAAUGCUGCUCCUCUUGUAUCUCAAGAGUGACCCCUGCCAGUUGGAUCUCGGUGACGUUAGUGCCCUCGCUGAGCUGUUGUUGCGGCUGCUGUUGUGCCUGACUGUUGGAGGGACUGUGUGCUGAGCAUGUUGAGGACGAUAUGGAGGCGGAGGCGACCGAUUGGUGUUCUCGUCGAACACUACGACAGUAGCAAAAACAAUAGUAGCAUGUCAAAAGGGCGAGAAGAAGCACAAUGACUGCCGGAGAAAGGACUAUUAGGAUGAAUUUCGUCGUCCAAUGGUGAUGGGAAGGCUGGUUGGAAAAUACCAAAGGGUCGCCACUGCUCCUAAAUGGAUUCCACGGUGCGGGAGCGUGGAUCGGGCCGUGGAAAUGGUGAAAAUUCAUUAGAAGAUGAUGAUGGAGUUAUUGUGAAGGAGGAGAAGAAGAGAGAAUAGAGCUGUUCAGCAGGCACGCCCUGGUAGCGGGAGGAGUGCUUCAACCGACGGCGGGGAAAGAGCUAGCAGUCGUCACCGCCGGGGAGGAGGACUAGCAGCAUCGAAGGGAGCUAGGGAGGAAAGGGUUGGGGGUAGGGAGAAUGGGAGAUAUAGGAGGAGAGGGUUGGGGAUCGAGAGGGGAGAAUGAGAGAUCAGCUUAAAUUAUAUAAUAUUUCACAGUGAAACAUUUUUUUUUAUUUUUUAAUUUUUUUCGAACAGUUUUACGUACCCAUCCGCGCAGGCUAUACAUGCUAUAAUUCCUAGCUAUAACCUAAACUCUACUCCAGCCUAUGAUUACUAUAUAAGCUUACACUGUACCCUCUAAUUUAAGCUCAUGUUGGCCCACUUUUCUUACCAAUUAUUGUAAAAUAAUAAAUAUUUAAUGAUAAUAAAAAUAUUUAUUAGAUAUUUAUUAGUAAUAAAUAUUAAUAACAAAUAUUUAAUGAAAUAUUUAUUAAUAAUAAAUAUUUUAUGAUAAUAAAUAUUAAUAAUAAAUAUUUUAUGAUAAUAAAUAUUAAUAAUAAAUAUUUUUAAAAUAUAUAUCUAAUAAUUAAAUUCUAAUAGAAAAUUUUGGUGUGCGCGAAAUGUAAUAUGUACCUGUACCUAUGCAUUGCGGUGAAGGUGAGAGUUAUGACUCGAACGAAACAAAGAGAUCAAGAGAGAGCGCGCCUGAGAGAGCGGGGACCUUGGGUUCAGACCACGUACGGUCUCGCCUCCUCCUAAUCCUUGUCGUUCGUCCUCCCUACUGCUCCCGCGAAAGAGCUCGCAGUCGAGAGAGAGCGGUUAUCAGGAAAAAAGAGGUUCUUCCGUAGAAGAGAAAACAGAUAAGAGAGAGAUAAAGAGAUGAGGGGAGGAAAUUAAACAAGCGUGAGUAGGGGUGUAAAAUGGGUCGGGCGGCCCACGGGGCGCCUGGCCCGGCACAACCGUGGGUACUAUAGAACCCGUGCCGGGCCGGCCCAUCUUGGCAUUUGGGCCGUGCUGGGCCAUUACCGUGGGGCCGUCCAGCACGGCACGGCCCGCAUGGGCCAUGCCUGUUGGACCAGCACGGCCCCCCAGUGUGUUUGGGGACAGUUGGCUCCCCAACUCCUUAAGCAACAUCUUGGGAGUUCGGAAACCAGCUGGCUCGCCAACUCCCAAGGUAUGAAAAAAAGGGGGCCUAGGGCCGUAGACUCUAGGCCCCUUUUUAAGUUUGUAGGCCCCUUCUAUAGAGAUGAGCCUAUCUCUUCUUAAAUUUUAAAUUUUUGAGAAAUUUUUAAAAAAAAUUUCAAGGCUUCAUAAAAUUUAAAAUUAUUUCAAAAAUUUACUACUUUCUAAGUUUUUUAAUAAAUUUUAUUUUUUUAGCGAACAUAUUAGUGGAAACAAAAAAAAGAACUAUUUUAUUUUUUUAUUUUUUAAUAUUUUUAUAUUAUUUUUAAAAAUAAAAAAUAUUGAAGAGCUGGCACGGAGCCCGGCCCGGCCCGGCCCAGCUCGGCACGUGCAGUCCGGGCCCGAGGGCCAUGCUAGGCUGGGCAUCCAUCAAAUAUGGCCGGCGGAUUUCCUUCAGAUCGGGCCGAGCUGAUCCCUGGCCCGAUUUGGCCCGGGUGAAUGUGAGCCGUGCUGGCUCGGCACGGCCCACAUUACACCCCUAAGCGUGCGAGAGAGUGGAGAGAUGGUGGGAGUAGUUAAGAACCGUGAGAGAGAAAAAACGAAUUUUUCCGAUAAAAGAAUUCUAAAAAUCUUCUUUUUUAAGAAAAUAAACUUCACGAAAAUAAAUUUAAUUACCACAUCUUUCUUUCUUCUUCUCUCCCCCUUUUCUUCUUUCAAAACCCUAUUCCACGCACUCUCUAUCUAGUAUUAACCGCUCCUAUAUAUACUGAAUUAAAAAAGCUUUUGCAGGGAAGCAGAACCUUCUUAUUUUCUACAUUUGUUCGCACCCCACCAUCUCUACGACUCUAGAACUUACAUAAAUAAUCACACUAUUAUCUACAUUCUAGUCCAAUGAAAGGCAAACAAAAGAAAAAUCAAGCACAUGGAUGUGCAUAGAGGGCUCAAGUUCAAGCGCCCAUCGUAUACCUUGUAUAGAUAACUUGUUAUAGAUAGCUUGUUGGCAAAGUAAAUUAUAAUUGUGAGAAGACUUAUAAAAAUUAUUGUAAAAUAAUAAAUAUUUAAUAAAUAUUUAUUAUCAUUAAAUAUUUAUUAUUAAUAAUGAUAAUAAAAAUACUUAUUAAAUAUUUAUUAAUAAUAAAUAUUAAUAAUAAAUAUUUAAUGAUAAUAAAUAUUUAUUAUUUCACAAUAGUUUUUAUAAAUUUUAAAUUUUUUAAUAAAAAUACCAAUUUAAUUUUAUUGAUAAUAUUUUUAAAUAUUUUAUAUUUUUAAAAAAUUAAAAAUGACAACUUUAAGUGGCUAGAUUUUUUUAAUUUUUUAAAUCAAUUUAAAAUAGUAAAAAAAAAAAAGGACGUUAUCAAACCGAUUGAUGAUUUUAUUAACUUUAAUAAUGUUAAUUAUUUUUUAAUAUAACUUACAUGAUGAAUUAAUCUAGUAAAGUCUUUAACCUAACUAAAUAUUUUAAAAAAAUAUAUAAAGAGAAAAGUUAGAAGUUGAUUACUAAUUCAAACGAAAAAGUUGAGAGAUCGAUUUGGGAAUGAUCUAUAGUUGAGGGGUCUCCAUACAUUUUUUUUUCACAAAAAUAUUUUUUAUUUUUUUGAAGGGUUGACUAUAAUAUGAGAAAUGCUUUAUUACAACCUAACCCUACAAUUUUUGCCAUUGGAAGAUCAACUUGCUUCUACAUAAUUGUCAUUUUUUUUUCUUAUUUUUAGAUUUUUUUAAAAAAAAUCCAUCUUAAGCCUCCCUAGUCCCUAGUCCCUCCUCCUUAUAGGGGUUCAAUUACCCCUAGUCCCUACUUAUUAUAGCUAGGAAUUAUAGCUUGUAUGUAUAGCCUGUAUAGAUGGGUACAUAAAACUGCUCAAAAAAAAUUAAAAAACGAAAAAUAUGUUUCACUGAAAUAUUCUAUAAUUUAAGCUGAUCUCCUAUUCUCCCUUCUCGAUCCCCAACCCUCUCCUCCCCAACCCUCUCCUCUCAAAAAUUCUCAUUUCUCCCCAACCCUCUCAUCCCAAAUAAUCCAUUCAACACUGCUAGUCCUCGUCCUCGGCGGUGACGACUGCUAGCUCUUUCCCCACCGCCGGUUGCCGCGCUCCUCCCGUUACCAGGGCGUGCCUGCUGAGGCUAAAGCACUGCCACUUCUGCUCCGGCGCCCCCGUACUGCUCAGGUACGCCGCCUCCCUGUCUCUUCCCUACCCCACUGGGCCUAACUCAAACCGGCACCUCCCCCCCGAUAGCGGGCCAACCUCCCCCUCGGCUCCCCUGGAACCCGCGCCCCCCUCCCCCUCCGCCCCCUAUGGAACCCGCACACGCCCCACUUCCUUCCGCCCCUGUCACAACCUUCAUUUUUCGUACAUGCAUGUCUUCUUUACACAUCAGAACUACAUUAUCUGUGCCAGCCAACAUCAAAGCAUACGAAACCCUAAUUUAAUACGUGCCACCACAUAUCAAUGCAAACAAAACACUAUUAUCAAAGCAAAACUAAACCCUUAAUAGGAGACGAGUGCGAUGGCAAACAAAGAGAUAAUUAAAGAUCAAUUGUCCUUGGUUUCGUACAUACCCCAAAGACAAACCUUAUCAUGAUGAGUCUAAUCACACCAAGCAUGUGCUCAACUUAUUAAUUUGAGCAACAUCUUUUAUUGGUAAUUAUAAUAUAAAAAAAUUCUUUUAUCUUAAAGUAAAUAAGAAGGUAUAAUGGAGAAUUUGAGAACCUCUACCCUACUUUCUUUUUUUUUUUUUGGGAGUGGCCACACAUGAGAGGACUCGCCGCUCCCUUCCCCUCCCGCGCCCCCCGGGGGACUUGAAACGCCUCUCUCCCCUGGCACCACUGUCCCCACGGAAUUGCCGCUAUCCUCCCUCUGGCCCACAUACUGAACCGCGCCCCCUCUGGAACAGCGCCUCUCCCCCCUCCGCCCCCUACCCCCGAUCGCAUCCCCCUCUCCCUCAGAGAAAUCUGAAACAUCAGAUAGAGAGAAAUAUGAAGAUUUAACCCUUAUAUCUUAUAUACAUAACUAUUUUAAAUUCUAGAUUAUCAUAUAAUUUUAGGAGAUGUACAGUUAUUUAUAUGAUAUGGAAAUAGCACGUAGAUACAUAAUUUCAAGCUUUUCAGAUCCUCUCCAUUAAUGCAACAACCAUUUAAAAAUAUUUUUGAGAUUUGAAGGGGGUUAAAUAUAGAUUUUUUGAAAGUCUGGAAAGAAAAAUAAAAAAUGAAAAGUAGGUAUUUGUGUAAAAUUCUUUAAUUUUAAAUUUUUGUAAUUAACUUUUUUUUCUCCUAACUCCUCAAUCUAAUCAAACCUAUCAAAAAAUAUAUAUAUAUUUUAAAAUGUUAGAGAAUAAUUAUGCUCUGUAUUUUUUAAGGUGGCAGUGGAGUAUCCGUACACGACCGGACUUGCAUGCUUUGGGGUGGUAGCAUUUACCCUUGCGAUUUCAUUGGUCUCGCCCCAAUUCCUGAGAACGACGGAUAACGGAGCAUGCACGGCAGGACCAGCCUAUUAUAGAUACAUGUAUCUUGCCGCAUUGGUUGCAGUGGCUACUUGUGUGAUGUUGAUUGCGACCACAGUCACCAUCAAGAUCGAAGUCCGAUCCCAUCAGCAUAUACAGAACCAUCCGAGAAGGCUCCUCCUUCGCUUUCUAGCUGUAUAUGCUAUUGUCCUUUACAGUAUUUGUAUUCUAUCUUAUAUUAUAUCUAUUAUUUUACUUUUACAUAUUAAGACAGGAAAGCUGGUUUGUUUUAGUGUGAUAGAGAUGUUAUUCUACUUUUUAGGUUUCUCUAUUUUGUUUGUAGUGUUAGCUGGACAUGUCGUUUAUUGGAUAUAUGUUGUAUGUUAUUGUAUUAGAUACCACUUAUUGUAAAUCAAUUAUAUAUACUAUGAAGAUUGAUCAGUCUAAAUAUUUAAUGUUGCUUGUCGAAAAAUUUUUGGGCCAUUUGUUUGCAAUUUGAUAUUUGAAUUAAUCAAUCUCUUAUAUCCCUGCAAUAAUUCACAUUUUAAUCCACUUCUAAUGAAUAUACAUCAUAAUUUUGCAAAUAUUAAAUAUUUUGGUAAAAAUAUUUUAUCUUUGGUAGAAAAAGAGACAAAGAAGAACUACUGUUUAAAUAAAAUUUCUCACUCAAAAACUUACUAACUUUUCAUUAAAAAUUCCCAGUAGCUUCUCACAGUGGACGUGACCAUUAUCACACUGCUAGCCACUGCAAAGAAUGUUGUAAGAUACAUGUAUCAGUAAUAGGUUGGUCCUGCCGCACAUGCUCAAUCACCGAUUUUUUUUAGGAGCCGGGGUGAGAGGAAUUAAAUCCCAAGACUAAAGUCUGCUACUUUUAAGAAUGCAAGUCCGAUCGAACGUAAACACUCUGCCAUCGCCUUAAAGCUUCCUCUAUUUUAUCUCCUGUUAAAAAAGAGCAUAAUUAUUCUCUAAGGUAUCAUUUGGUUCGGAAAUAAAGCUUCCCUAGUACCAAACUUAUUAAAAUAAGUAGGAACCUAGGAAUAAGGCCUUAUUAGCCCUCUCCGACCUCAAGGGUCCACUUGCUCUGAAGCGAGCCCGGUUGGUGCUUAUUUUUUUUUACUAAAAAAAGCUGUUAAUUUUUUUUUGAAAAAAAAAACUACAAGACACAAGAAAAGAAGUCUUUUCGUCAAAAUGACCAUAAUGCCCUCCCUAACAUUCAAAUCUUUUACUAUUAGAGAGAGCAUUUUUGUCCAAAAAUUAAAAAUUUAAAAAUUUUAUAUUUUAAAAAAAGUUUUAAAAUUUCUUUUAUAUUUAUAAAUACUUCAACAAAUCUUUAAACUCAUCACAACAAGCGAAUCUUCCAUUCUUUUUCUUCGACCGAUACUAACUCUUUAUAGUUGUCUUGCAUUAUAUCUGUUGUUUUACUUUUAUAUAUUAAGAUGGAAAAAAUUAAUUUGUUUUAGUAUGAUAGAGAUGUUAAUUUAUUUACUAAGUUUCUCUGUUUGGACAUGUCAUUAUUGGAUAUCUGUAGUAUGUUGAUCUUGCAGCGCAAGCUCCAUCACCGAUCUUUCUCAGGAGCUGGGGUGAGAGGAAUGAAACCCCAAGGCUGAAGACUGUCACCCCUAAUAAUGAAGUCCAAUCGAGUGCAAAUACUUUACCAUCAUCUUAAAGCUUUCCAUAUUUUAUCUCCUAUUAAAAAAAAGCAUAAUUAUUCUCUAACGUAUCAUUUGGUUCGAAAAUAAAGAUAUGUUAGGCUAUUUCUUGGAUAAGCAAACUCUUAUUAGAAUAAGAAGAAACCAAGAAGCAAGGCCCGGUUGGUACUUCUUAUUUUUAUUUUUUUUCUAAAAAAAGUUACUGAUUUUUUAUUCGAAAGAAAAAACUACAAGACGUUAGAAAAAGCCUCUUUUGGUCAAAAUAAUCAUAAUGCCCUCCCUAAUAUUCAAAUUUUUUACUAUUGAAUAUAGCAUUUUGGUCAAAAAAAAUGAAAAACUAAAAAUUUUAUAUUUUUUAAAAAGUUUUAAAAUUUUUCUACACUUAUAAAUACUUUAAAAAAAUCUUUAAACUCAUCACAACAAGCAAAUUCUUCAUUCUUUUUCUUCUGCUGAUACUAAUUCUUUAUAUAGUAUUUGUAUUGUGCCUUAUAUUAUAUUUGUUGUUUACUUUUAUAUAUCAAAAAGAUUUUUUUUUCGAAAAAAAAAUAAAGAACUAGAAAAAGUCUCUUUGGUCAAAAUAAUCAUAAUGCCUUUUCUAAUAUUCAAAUAUUUUACUAUUAGAGAGAAUUUUUGUCAGAAAAUUAAAAAUUAAAAAUUUUAUAUUUUUAAAAAAGUUUUAAAAUUUUUUUAUAUUUAUUAAUACUUCAACAAAUCUUUAAACUCAUCGCACAACAAGCAAAUUUUUCACUUUUUUAUUCUGCCGAUGCUAAUAUUUUAUAAUAUUUGUAUUGUAUCUUAUAUUAUAUCUAUUGUUUUACUUUUAUAUAUCAAGACGAAAAAACUGAUUUGUUUUAGUAUGAUUGAGAUAUUAUUUUAUUUACUAAGUUUUUCUGUUUUCUUUUCAGUAUUAGUUGGACAUGCCAUUAUUUGGUAUCUGUAGCAGGUUGAUAAUGCUGCACAUGCUCCAUCACCGAUCUUUCUCAGGAGCUGGAGUGAGAGGAAUGAAAUCCCAAGACUGAAGACUGCUAUCCCUAAGAAUACAAGUCUGAUAAUCCCAAGACUGAAGACUGCCAUCCCUGAUAAUACAAGUCCGAUUGAGUGCAAACACUCUACUAUUGCCUUAAAACUUUUCAUAUUUUAUCUCCUGUAAAAAAAAAGAGCAUAAUUAUUCUCUAACAUAUUGUUUAGUUCGGAAAUAAAGCUAUGUUAGGCUAUUGCUGGAAUAGGUAAAUUUUUAUUAAAAUAAGCAGGAAUCUAGGAGCCAGGCUUUAUUGGUCCUCUCCGAUCUCGAUGGUUCACCUGUUGUAAAGCGGGCCAGGUUGGUGCUUUCUAUUUUUUAUUUUUUUCUUAAAAAAAAUAUAUAUAUUGAUUUUUAUUUGGAAAAAAAACUACAAGACACUAGAAAAAGUCUUUUUUUGUUCAAAAUAACCAUAAUGCCCUCCGUAACAUUCAAAUCUUUUGCUAUAGCAAGAGCAUUUUGGUCGAAAAUUAGAAAUUAAAAAAUUUAUAUUUUAAAAAAACUUUUUAAUUUUUUUUACAAUUAUAAAUACUUUAAUAAAUCUUUAAACUCAUCACAACAAAAAUAUCUUUCAUUCUUUUUCUUCAACCGAUUCUAAUUUUUUAUAGUCUUUGUAUUGUGCCGUACAUUAUAUCUGUUGCUUUAAGCUUAUUUAUCAAAACGAUUUUUUUUUUGAACAAAAAACUACAAGAUAUUAGAAAAAGCCUCUUUUGGUCAAAAUGAUCGUAAUGCCAUCCUUAAUAUUCAAAUCUUUAAUUAUUAGAGAGAGCAUUUUUGUCAAAAAUUUAAAAUUUAAAAUUUUAUAUUUUUAAAAAAGUUUAAAAAUUUCUUUUACAUUUAUAAAUAAUUCAACAAAUCCUUAAACUCAUCAAAUCAAGCAAAUCUUUCAUUAUUUUUUUAUUAUCUAUGUUAACUCUUGUGUCUUAUAUCGUAUCUGUUGUUUUACUUUUAUAUAUCAAAAUGGAAAUACUGGUUUGUUUUAGUAUGAUAGAAAUGUUAUUUUAUUUACUAAAUUUCUCUGUUUAUUUUCAUUGUUAGUUGGACAUGUCAUUAUUAGGUAUCUUUAGUACGUUGGUCGUGCUGUGUUUGCUCCAUUAGCGAUUUUCUUGGGUGCUAUGGUGAGAGGAAUGAAAUCCCUAUGCUGAAGACUACUCAUCCUCGGUCACGCUGCUAUGGUGAGAGGAAUGAAAUCCCUAUGCUGAAGACGCUGCUAUGGUGAGGUCACGCUGCUAUGGUGAGAGGAAGACGCUGCUACUGGGACUCGACCGUGACACCUUUGGGGGCCAUAUUUGGUAGGCAUUUGGGUUGACGAAGUUAUGGAGUUGCGGAGUUGAGGCGUUCCGUCAGGUAGGAGUUGCUGUCAAGUCAACGGAGGCAAUUCCCUAGCAAUGGCCCAUGCCAUGACAUGAAAAUAGGUACUGCAUGCGGGGUUUGAAAACGUACCCCUCGGUGAGCACCUUUGUACCCCCGGGGUGCCAAAGGAGUAGAUGCCUCGUAAGGGUAUUAGAGGAGGGGUGGACACUUCGUAAGUGGCCCCGACUCCCCCGUCGACCCAUAGGACAUGGGUCGUCCCUUGGCUAGCGGAGUAGCCAAGCCUAGCGUUCCGUGUAGCCGGUUAAUGGACGGUUGAAGGGACACGGGCCUAGGGUAAUGUCGGAGACGAGAGAGGUCGACGACAUUACGGAGCGGGGAAUACCGGGAGGCUUCCUCCCUAGGAUCGCUUGCACUACCUUAUGCAGGCUUAGAUCUCUGUAGUGGAGCGUACGAGCGGAUGAGGGAUAGUCUAGCGACGGACGGUCCUCCGUAAAGGACAAGGCUCGCGAAGGCAAGUGUGCCGAGUUGGGAUUCGUAGGGCACGGCGCCCAUGAAGGCCAAGGAGGCGGGACUCAAUAGGAACGCUAAAGGGAGGCAUACCGAGGGAGAAUUCGUAAGGUGGGUGGCCUACGAGACUCGAGGGGCAGAACCCAAGGAGGCAAGCGGUAUCGAUAUCCGUAUAGUGAAUCUUGAGAGACUGGACCAAUAGUGUAAGCGGCCAGGCGUGGUCGAGCCAAGGAGGGGCGAGUGGCUAGCGAUGCGGAGCGAGUCCGGUUCGUUUGUAUGGGGCCUUAGGAGGCAAACCUAUGGGAUUCAAGGGCACGGAGCGCCGUGGCAAAGCGAGGGUCGUUGAGACGGUUGAGAAGCACAAUGUGGACUUGUUGGUUCCCUUGUCAGGAGCGAUGGGACACGAGGGCCGCACGGGUCGAAUGCGAAGCACGGAGGUGCGAAGCAUGGACGUGCGGGGUGUCACGCUGAGGUGCUGAUGUUGGGGGCAAACGAGCUUGUGGCGCACACUUGGGUGGCUUUUCGGAGGUAAGCCGUUGGACCGAGCGAGCAGGCCGCGUAGGCGGUAUGGCCAUGGGCGUCGUCAGUCGCAUGAGGCAAGACAUGAAGGAGUUAUGUUCGUGAGUGUCCUUCGUGGCAUGUGAUGUUGCGGAGCCCGGACCUUGACGCGGGUGGCAUGCAGGUCAAGUCGUGGGAGCGGGAUGCGUGGUGAGGUAGAACGCUCGGCUAGACUCAUAGUGGUACAAGUUGGGGGAGAACUUGUAAUGUCCUUGGGCUGGCGACGAAGGCAACAAGGUAUUCGGUGAUAAAGCACUCUCGAGGAGAGAUCGGUUGGCAAAAGGGAAUGCACCUAGCUUGGUGGCCAACCUCGAUAUUGGGGUUGCUCGUUGGGAACUCGUGGAGUUCGACGAGGUUCGAUUACAGGCGAAGGGUCGGACUGUAAGUCUCGCGGAGGAGCAAGCUUUGCAAAAUGCUUGGAUUGGUAUUCCGCUGUUAAGUCUGGGAGACUUGUCCGCGUAAGGGACUCGAGAAGGCUGGCUCGGGUGUGCGACACUUGAGCGCCGCGCGGGGAUUUUUGAGGCAAAAAAGCUAACCCCGUGACAAGUUGGUAUCAGAGCUAUGUUGAGCUCUUUUGGGAUGGAAGUUUGGCCGAAAGGUGCGACCUUGGCGGCGAGGUUGGAGUGAGCAGAGUCACUCUAACGGAAGGACUUGGAGCCGACAAUGCAUCAGGGCAAUACUUCGCUUGUAAGAGAUGCGGAGUUGAGUUGUGAUGGAUAUUGGUGCUACCCACGAAGUCUUUGCGACGAGUAAAGCCGGGUGGUUCAGAAUUGCACUACGCAUGGAUGAGAGUCAGAUAACAGCGAGGGAAGUGUCUGUUGGUGUGGACUCGUGGUGGGGUGAAAGCUAAGUUCAUGUCGAUACCCUGUGAAGAUUUCCAAGUCAUUCUCAGGAUGGAGAAAUGGUUAAGGCCUUAGUCGUGUGGCAGACGAUGGGGCAAUGAUUAUGAAGAAUCUGUUUGCGGUCCGUGGUUGGAGUUAUCGCGGAGUUGGAUAUUGCGAAUGCCCAAGGAACCUGAGUUGUGCAGAGGUGCUUACGACUCAGGGUGGGGGAGUACACAAGGUGGAGAUGUAUUCCCAAAUGUGAAUCCUGGACGAUUGUGCUUCUCGAAAGGAUAUAGAUUAGGCGGUGAAACACUGGGCGAAAGAGUUUACUUCGUGCAUGCUGAGUUUGAAGUCUGACGGGCAGUAGUCUUCGUUGGGAGCAGCUUCGACCAAAGUUGCAGGAAUACCAAAGGGCUACUCGAUGGACCAGUAUUUCUCUCUUGGUAAAGGAAGAUCGAUGGGGAGAUCGAUGACUCUUUGGAGUGUGCCCAUGAUAUGGAAAGAGAAGGCAUCCUUGUGCAAGAGUAAGGAUUGAGGUUGGAAUCUUAACUCGCGGAGUGAGGUGAUAGGGCUAGCUUCGAGCAGAACGGUGACAGUGUUGGUGACUCGAGGUAGCUCACAUGUAUCCAUUGGAUGGAUGACAUGGGUUCCGCUUGAGGGAAUAGUGAAGGUUGUGGCAGAGCCGAAGCUAGCAGAGCGGAAUGUGGGGCAUUGAGAAUGCCGAUGGGGUCUGAGUGCGCUUGGUGGGAGAGCGACUCAGAGUGGGGGAGCACGUUUGGUCAUUAAGUGUUCCCAUGUGCAUUGCCUCGGUGAAGGAGCUCGUCUAUGAUAGGAAGUGGGAUACAACACAUGUGGUAAAAGAGUUCGCUUCGUGGAGCUCAAGUUGGGAGUCUAGGCAGACGAAUCCAUGGUAGUAACAGCUAGGCGUUGGACUAGGUUGUGAAGGGGACCAAGGAUUGCGGGAGAGCUUAGCACUUCUCUUGGUGCGAGAAGGCCGGUGUGGAGAUCGGUUGCUCUUUACAAUGUGCCCACGAGUUGGACAGAUGAGGCAUCAUUAGUCGGGUUGAAGUGUGUGUGGAUUCACCCGAGAUCAUGGUGCUGGUUGGAGUAUGGACAGUUCGCAACUGCGGGAAGGGUCGAGGUAUCGAAGUUCUGUAAGGGCGGUGCGCCCAGGGUAGCGACAUUACCGUGACAGCCAGACUUGCAGUUCAGACUAAGCAGAGAGUGAACUGAAUUCCGUUCAGCAAUCAAUCAUGAGGGUGGUUUCCCUAGAGUUGGGAUAUGGCAAGUUGCGAGCGAAAAGAGACAAGGUGUUCGAUAGGCUCAAACUUGGUCAAACACUUUGAUUGCGAAUCGAAGUGGAGUUCUGCGAGAGCCUAACGAAGUAAGGCUUGAGUGGAUUUGUGGGACGAAAGCUAAAGGUGCCGUGCAUCAACAAGUAGUCGAAAUGCAAAGCAGUCAGGAGGCAUGACAAAGGUGCGUGGUGAAGUCAGUAGAGCAGGAAGUAGUUGAGGCCGGCUAGUCCCGACGAAAGACUUGAAAGCUUGAGGAGACCAUAGGGGAGCUCGACGUUGUGCGAUUGUGGAGGCAUUAGGGUGGCAAAAGUUGUUUGUGGAGAGGGCACGAGUAUGGCAUGAGUACCCACAAGAGUUGUACCGAUAAAAUUCAAUAAGACAAACUUUAAUGCAAUGGAAGCGGGAGUUCAAGUGGAGGAACUCGCCACAUAUGGGGACGGGAGUUCGAGUAGAGGAACUCGCCGUAUGUGCGAGCGGGAGUUCGAGUGGAGGGACUCGCCACAGAUGAGAUCGGGAGUCGAGUGGAAAGACUCGCCGUAUAAGACUGGGAACGUCGGAUCGAGGAUCUGUCGUAGGUGCCUAGGGAGAGGCAUGAAAUCUGAUGUUAUGGUAAGGGGCAAAGGCGAAGACGAGCAGCGUGCUGAUUCGCGUGGAGAACUCCAAGACGAGGGACGUUUGGAGUCUAACCCCUAAGUCCAAGGUCGAUGGAUGUAUGACCUUGAAUCCCAGAGAGGGGAAGUUUAGUCGGAGGACUAUUUCCUUGAGAAGGAGUUAUAAGGUUGGCUACUGGACUCGUGGAACUUUGGUUAAGUCAGGACGAAGUGGGCGUUGAGGCCGAGUAGCUCCGAUGGAGAGAACCAAGUUAAGGAAGAGUGCCAGUACAAUCUUGCAAUCCGAGGGAUUANCCUGAUGUUAUGGUGAGGGGCAAAGGCGAAGACGAGCAGCGUGCUGAUUCGCGUGGGGAACUCCAAGACGAGGGACGUUUGGAGUCUAACCCCUAAGUCCAAGGUCGAGGGAUAUAUGACCCUGAAUUCCAGAGGGGAAGUUUAGUUGGAGGACUAUUUCCUUGAGAAGGAGUUAUAAGGUUGGCUACUGGACUCGUGGAACUUUGGUUAAGUCAGGGCGAAGUGGGCGUUAAGGCCGAGUAGCUCCGAUGGAGAGAACCAAGUUAUGGAGGAGUGCCAGUACAAUCUUGCAAUCUGAGGGAUUAUGAGUUUUAAGUUCUGGUUUCGUGGAGGAGUUAGUGUGGUGCGAGCGAGGCACCAAGGCUGGGGAGCUCUAACUCAGGGAGGGACAGAACACGUAUAUGGAGUGGAUGGUCGAGGAGGACCAAUGGGCUUUUCAGAAGCAUUGUUGAGCAGACGAACUCAAGGGCAGGUCAGCGUGGCAUGCGAUGCCAAGGCCAUGGGUGGCUCUGGUCUGGAAGAGUAGUACUGCUGGCAAAAGAGUUUGAAGAAGUGGUGGAGCAUCGACGAGGACGUCGAUGAUUCAAGUGGGGGAGCCUGUCACGGGUCGAUCGCUGGGACUCGAUCGUGACACCUUUUUGGGCCAUAUUUGAUAGGCAUUUGGGUUGACGAAGUUAUAGAAUUGCGGAGUUGAGGCGUUCCGUCAGGUAGGAGUCGCUGUCAAGUCAACGGAGGCAAUUCCCUAGCAAUGGCCCGUGCCAUGACAUGGAAAUAGGUGCCGCAAGCGGGGUUUGAAAUCCCUAUGCUGAAGACGCUGCUAUGGUGAGGUCACGCUGCUAUGGUGAGAGGAACUAUGGUUCUCAGGUGGUAUGGUGAGAGAAAUGAAAUCCCUAUGCUGAAGACUACUCAUCCUCGGUCACCACCAUAACCGACGGCACCGCUGUAACGACCCAGCCCACUAGCAACAAUAACUCGUUGGGCCCAAUCACUGGCCCAAAAUGCUUAAGCCCAGUUAUUAUUACUAGUGUCUAAAUCUAUUAUAAACCUAAUGACAACCCCAUUUCUAUCCGAUGUGGGAUUAUUGGGGUGUCACAGACUCCCUCCGUUAAGGCCCUGACGUCCUCGUCAGUCCAAUCACACACACAGCCCAAGAUCACCAGGCGAUGUGAGACUCGUCUCGCUAGCCCGUCAUCCAGACCCUGGCUCAGCCGAGACUCGCCACACAUGUCCAGCUGGUGAACCGGCUCUAAUACCAAAUGUAACGACCCGACCCGCUAGCAACAAUAACUCGUUGGGCCCAAACCACCGGCCCAAAAUGCUUAAUCCCGGUUAAGAAUUUAACCCUAUUAUAUCUUAUAUAUAGGACUAUCUGGGGUCUCACAACCGCCUUCUCCAGUUCUUCGCUCCUCCUCAAUCUUUCAGGUAAUUUAAUUACUUUCUUUGAUAUCUGCAUCCUAUAAUGUCAAUACGUUAGGGACAUAUAUCCUACUGAUAUACGAACAUAACAUAAAAAAAUGGUAAAUAUACUAACAAAACUUAUUACAAGAUUGGAUCAUCGAUCUUACAAAUUGAUACAUGAGUCCUAAUUACUAUAACAUAAAAAGAAGAUGACUAAAGGGAUUAGAGUGCUACCAUUAUUUUGGUACACUGUUUACUAAAGCAAAGGCCAUGCCUAAAUGCUUUGAUAGGUUCAUCACUCCCAGAAUGUAAUAAAUCAUUCAUCGAUCUUUAAAAGGUUAGUAUUACUAAAUUAGUAUUAUAAUUUAAAAGUUAUUCUACAAAAACUAAAAAUGUAAAAAUAAUAUAUUUAAAUUGCUAAAUACCAAGCUAAAAGUCUGAUUUAUGUACAUUAUUUAUUUAUAUUUGAAUUAUGUCGAGCAAAACAUGAGCAAUUAAGUUAAUUUGGGUUACCUCUUGUUCAGCUUGUUUAUUUUUCAAGUUGAAAAUGUGAUCUUAUGAUAGCUUGUUUAUUAAACAAGCGAGAUGCAUCGGAAUCAAUUUUGGGCCGAACAUAAGCUAGUGUUGAGUUGCGAACUAUAUGUUGAAUUGAUAGCCUGGUUGAUCAGAACGCUUGAUACUUGGCUGUAGUAUCCACUGUGGAUGGUUGGUAAUAUACUACUGUUGUAAUGUAUACAUGUAGUAGAAGAAUCUGGUUUAAAACCUCUAAUUAAAUUUGCAUAAGAUUAACAUAUAUAAUUAUUAUUUUGUUCCACAUGUUUGCACACAUAUUCAUGCUAAUUUAGCUAUUUGUUCCAUAUAUUUGCCCACAUAUUGUUUACCAUUUGUUUGAUAGGCUACCUAAAUAUGAAAAUUAAUUAUUUGCUAUUUACUCCUUGUUAAUGUUAGUUUCGUUAGAUUCACAUUAAAUUUUAUAUUGUUCUGGUAUAAUUCAACAAUAAAAUUUCAAGUUUGAUAAUAUUUAAAAAAUAUUACAUGAUAUGUAUGGAAAUAAAAUGUGGUUGAUUUGAAGUUGAGUGAAAACAAUGAUCUCGUUCUUAAAAAAUAAUAUAUUGUAAGAAUUAGAGCAAAUGAAAUAGCAAAAACAAUAAAAGUUUGAUUGGAAAGUAAUCUUUAGGAGAUGGACGGUUAUUUUAUAUUAUUUUAUAUAAUAUCAAAAUAGCACAUACGGCGAUACAUAAUUAAUUUCAAGCUUUUCAUAUUCUUAUAUAGGUAGGAUAUGAAAAGUAUAUUUUUCUUUUUUAAAAUUUGCUAUUUUUUUCCUUACUCUUCAUUCAAAUUAAAAUUAUCAAAAUAUACAAUUUUAUAUAAGGUAAAUUGCAUUGUUACCUUCUGAACUUUUGGUGAAGUUUCACUUUACCCCUCGAACUUCUAAAAUGGACAUCUAACACCCUAAACUCUAAUAUUUCAUUCAUUUUACCCCUUCCGUCAGUUUUCCGUCAAGCUCCAUUAACCGAAAACUAACUGAACGUGUAAAACAAAUGAAAUAUUAGAGUUUAGAGUGUCAGAUAUCUAUUUUAGAAGUUUGGGGGGUUAAGUGAAACUCGCCAAAAGUUCAGGAGAUAGCAGUGCAAUUUACCCCAAAGGGACACUCUUGACUAUAAAUUAUUUUAUUAUAAUAUGUUACUUAUGAAUUGACUACUAAUUCUCAAGUUAGUGAUCAUGCUUGAUUUUGAAUAUAUAUAUAUAUAUAUAUAUAUUAUCCUAAAAUAAAUCAUACCGUAAUUUAUCCUAUAUUUUAUUGUAAUAAAAUAAAAGCAAAAGAAAUGAAUUAGAGUGGCUUAAAGAUAAAAAAUGAGCGAUACUAACUACCUACGAUGCUCAAACACUCUACUAUCCUGGUGUACUCGCUAAUAUAGUUGAUUUAUAAUAGGUGUCCUCACUCGGAUAUAGAGAUUUUAAUUCUCAGUUAAUUUUCUGUAGUACUCGUUUGUCCCUUUUAUCUUUAGAGGUAUUGUUCUAGAAAAUACACUUAUUUUCUAUGAAACUAUGCAAUGUAAUUUUAUUGUAGUCUAAAAUAAAAUUUGUCUUUCAUUUCAGCCAAUUAGAAAUUUUUAAUAUAAAAAUAUAAAAUAAUAAUUUAUAAUAAAUUAAAAUUUUAAAAAUUAAAUUAGUGAUGUUAGAUUAAGAUAUACUGAAUAUCAUCUCAUUCUUCAAAUAUCGGUAGCGGUCCAAUCCAUUUGCUUUUUUUUAAAAUUAUUUUGUAAUAUUUUUCUUCUUGGAACUCUCACUUUGAAAUUUUUAAAAAUAAAUUAGUGAUGUUAGAUUAAGAUAUGCUGAAUAUCAUCUCAUUCUUCAAAUAUUGGUCCAAUCUAUUUGCUUUUUUUUAUUUUUUAAUAUUGUUUUUCUUGGAACUCUCACUUGUCAAAGGGGUAAAUUGCACUGCUACCUCCUGAACUUUUGACGAGUUUCACUUAACCCCCCAACUUCUAAAAUAGACAUCUAACACCCUAAACUCUAAUAUUUCAUUUAUUUUACCCCUUCCGUCAGUUUCCAGUUAACGGAGCUUGACGGAAAACUGACGAAAGGGGUAAAAUGAAUGAAAUAGUAGAGUUUAAAGUGUUAGAUGUCCAUUUUAGGAGUUCGAGGGGUAAAGUAAAACUUUUUCAAAAGUUCAGGGGGUAACAAUGCAAUUUAUCCAUUUUAUAUAUUCUCUUGAAAAUAUUUUUAGAGAAUAAUUGUACUUUUUUUUCAUAGGAGAAAAAUAUGGCAACCUUCAAGAUGAUGGUGGAGAGGUUGUUCACGAUCGGUCUUGCAUUAUUAUGAGGGGUGACAGUCUUUGAUUUUGGAAUUUCAAUCCUCUUAGUUCAGUUCGUGUCACGCCCCGGGGCCGAUUUUAAAAGCCUUUUUAAAACAGAGUUGCGGAAAACGUGCCAUUUUUUUUUNGAGUGCUUUUGUAAUUAAAUUACACACAAAAACAUCGUCAACUGAGAGUUUAGCUACACUGUAAAAAUCUCAGUCCUUACAUCGUGAGAAAAGCUAGUGAUGGAGUAUGCACUACAGUAAAAACCCACUACACGUACAUGUAUCUUGCGGCAUUCUUUGUAGUUCCUAACAAUGUGUUGCUGAUUGCGACCACGAUGACCAUCAAGAUCAAAAUCACAUCCCAUAAACAUAUAAGGGACCAUCCAAGAAGGCUCCUCUUGCUCUUCAUAGCUGUAUUUGCUAUUAUCCUUUAUAGUAUUUGUGUUGUUUCUUUUAUUGUAUCUAUUAUUUUGCUUUUACAUAUCACGACGAAAAAACUGAUUUGUUUUGGUAUGAUAGAGAUAUUAGUUUAUUUAUCAGGUUUAUCUGUUGUUUUUUCAGUGUUAGCUAGACAUGCCAUUUAUUGGAUACGUCUAGCAUGUUAUUAUUAUUAGAUAUCAGUUAUUGUAAAUAAAUUAUAUAUACUAUGAAGAUGGAUCAGUUGAAGUAUUAAAUGUUGUUUGUGGAUAAAUAUUUGGGCCACUUAUUUGCAAUUUGGUACUUUGAAUGAAUCUAUUUCUUAUAUUCAUUCAAUGAUUUGAAUGUAAUACAUUUUCAAUGAAUAUGCAUUACAAUCCCUGCAAAUAUUAAAUAUUUUGGUAAAAAUAUUUAAAAGCCUAUCCAUCCAUCUACACAUCAUUUUCAGUUAUUCCUUCUUUUUUAAAUUAAAAGAGCAUCAUUCUUUCAUGUUUAAUUAAAAGAGCAUCUUGUAGUUUAAGGCAUAUAAUAGCUAAAAAAAAAUGAUGGUUUUCAAAAUUAUAUAUGGCGUAGUAGUUAUUCUAGAAAAGGAUGGUUUUCAAAAUUAUAUAUAGCGUAGUAGUUAUUACUAGAGUAUUGGAUUACAAAAAUAUUAUUUAAUAGAAUUUCAGUUAUAAAAAUAUUUUUUUUUCUAUAUUUACAAAUAGUUUGAGAAUAGCGUGUUUUCAUAAGGAUAAACUUUACGGGUGACAACUGAUAGUAUUUAAGUAGGUUAAAAAUAUUUUUCUCCAAAAAAAGUUGUUAAAAAUAGUAAUUCUACUUUAUUCUCAGAGAUAAAAAAUUUAGUUCAAUACUAGUUUCAAUCGUUUGUUAAGACAUACGAUAAAUUUUUGAAUAAUUCAUAAAUGAGAUAAGAAAAGAGACUAAAUAAUAACCCCACAUCGUCACUAGCAAAAUCCAAAGGAAAGCACUACAAGAGAAUUAAGUUAUAGCUUCAUAUUUUUGGAACACUUUUGUAUAAAUGUUCGUCCAAAAUUUUUUUAAAAAAAUAUACCUACUAAAGCCCAAAUAUAAGGCCCAGCCCACUUAAAAAUAUAUUAACCUGCUUGACCCAACCACCCAACCUAAUCAGCCCAAAGAAAAAACCGAUCUCUACCUCGUCUCCCCUCUCUCCGACCCCUAAAACCGUAGACGUAGAUCCCCUCGCUCUCCUCCUCCGCCGCCGCCGUCGCAGCCGAUGAGGGAGGGAUCCGGCGGCCAGAGUUCAGCUGUGAGGAUCGCACGGAAACCGUAAAGGUCUAUGAUCGUCAUGUAUCCCUCCGCCACAAGUCGCCGGAGGAGUGGGCGCCAAACGUCGAGGCGGCGGCGGGCAGGAGGAGUCCGGCGUCCGCCUCCUGGCUGUGCUCGCGGUGGCGCUGAAGGUGCAAAAGGAGGAGAUGAAGAAGAAGGUGAGAUCGAUCAGUGCUAGGGUUUCUUGUUCAUGAGGAUUUAGGGUUAAUCUCUUGUGAGAAUCCCUUUGUGCGUGAAUCGCUUUGCUUGGUAUCGUAUAAAUUAAGGCUUAUAGAUGAUCUUUGAUUAAGCUUUUGGAAUUGCUCUAGUGCUUGUUUAAUUUACACAGUCCUCUUUAAGCUCUUAGCCAUUGUUAUAAUGGCAUUACGUUGAGAACCUUGAUUGGGGAUUUGUUGAAAUUAACAGCCCUGUUAAAAAAAAGCGUUUAAAACAGUCAAAAUUUAAUAGAAUCACUCUUAAAUUUAACAGCUGUUUGUGAUGUCUUCUAGAAUAUGUAUUAGCGCGAUUCAUAACAAAAAGGGAACCUGGCAUUGCUCUAGUGAUGCAAGUUCAGAGGAAAGGUAAGCUUAUCAAGUACCAGUCAAUAGCUGUUUUAACUGUUAGUUGUCUGACAAUAUUUAGAGAUAAUAUAUCUGAGAAUUGACAAUUUUAUCAGUCGAUGUCUUACAGCAGCCUCUUGUUAUUAGGCAUGUUUUGAUCACUAUAUCUUUAUGUAUGAUACAUAGUCAUCAUAAUUUUAUUUCUCUCAUUCUUGUGCACUGUGGCUCAGUUUCUUGUGGACUGUUCAGGUUUUUCUAAUGUAUUGUGCAAUGAUUGAGCCAAAUAUAUCAAGUAUGAUCCGUUGUUUCUCAUUUAUACUUCUACUUUAUUACUUGACCUGGAAAAUAUUUUUAACAUUAAUCAUUCUAAGAAUUUAAUUCUAGCUAGAGUGAAUGGUAGUCAUAUCUUUUACUCUUUAUUCCUUGAUCUGUUUUUGUCACAACUGCACCCUAAUUAUAGUAAACAGAGGAAAUGUCAAAGCUAGAUGUUGGCAGUAUGUUUCAAUUUGCAUUGUAGCGUUUUGACUUCUGUUAAGUGUUAAAAUCUAUGAUUCAAAUUUAAAUGCUUUACAGAUGGGAAGUUAGUUCUUGUGCGAUGGACUCUCUGUACGAUCUAAACCUCAUAUCAAAAGUAGUUCCAAUGUUUUUGGACAACUCCAAGGUGUGGCACUAAAUACUGUCAACAAGUAUGAAACUAGAAAAGAGAGGGGUGGCUCACGUGGAAGGAGUCAGCAGAUUUGAUCUCAAAGAAAAUAGCAUGUACUCAAAUGUACUCCUAAUAAAUCACACUGCAAGUCCUCUGGCAUGGUAAAAUUUAUUGUUAUUAUUUCAUUAAUAACCUUUCAUUCUUUCUACUUGUCAGAUUUAAUAUCUAGGAUGCAUUUCUUUUGCUCGUAAAUAUCAAAAUCGAUGAAAUAUGGACAAAUUUGCUAGGUGAAUGUUUGUAACAUCAAGUGCUAGUCUUGAUCAUGAUAACCAUCCAGUUUUAUGGAGUGCAAGGAUAGAGCCAAUCACAGCUCUGUUUUGCUGCCACACUCCUUUGCCAACCAAAGCAGCUGAAAGAGUGCAAAAUGUGGCAGAUAAAGUAUGUCUUCUUCAGCUUUUUCUUUUUUUCCCCCUUUAAUUUCAUGCCUGUUGAAAGUGUGACUUUCUCUCUUGUCCUGGAAUAUAUGCGGAUUAUUCUUCCAGCUGUUGUCAGUUGUUUCUUGUUUUUGAUUUGGAACUUUUGAUUAUCCAGCUCUUCCAAUUUUCAUGAUAGACAGGAUGUACACUUCUGUCAUGAUAAAUAAGAUGUACUCCCAUCGGAUUUCUUCUAUAAUCCGCAUCUUUCAAAUGUCAAACAACCUCUUUACAUUUUAAGCCCUAUCAUCCAACUAGAGUUGUUGUUUCAAUUGCUUUCUUGAGUAGUCAAUGCUAGGUGAUCUUGGUCGAUUUUAAUAGGCACUUGAUUUGGGUGAUCUUGGUCUCUCUUUCCAUCUACCUUUCCAUGAGUAGGAAUCUUAUUUGUUUCCUAUCGAAUUGGCACACAAAAAAUGAGCUAAAUAAUUUAACUUGCUAUCAGCAUUAAGCUGUUCCUGAUCUCAUCUAUUUGAGGAAAAGAAGCUUGUAUUAGCACUUGAGCUACAUCCGUAUAAUCCGAAUAAUUAAUUAGAGUAACUUGCUCACAGUAUAAAACCUGUAACUUGCCUGUUAGUUCGUUCAACAUAGACAUGUAGUAUUGGUAAUAACAUGCAGCACAGUUACUCUUUUAGGCACUUGAUUUGGCAUAUAGGCCUAGAUUUUUAAACCCAUGUUGAUAACUAAGUCAAGUUGCGGGCCUUAGUUAAGCAACUCCUACACAGCUUACGAACUGACUGAAUUAGGCUUGUCUUAAAGUUAUGCGGUAUAAUUAAGAGGUUUGAGUGACCAUAACAUGCUUAGUGUUAUAGUUUAUAUUGUUUGCGUAUUUAUGCGUACAUGGUCAUGUUAUUCGUGCAAAAUGCUCUUUUUGUGUCUGGUUCGUAAAUAUUAAUGUUAACUUUCACCUACUGAAGCACGACAGAGUUCUACAAAUGGCCUUUCUUUUUUGAUGCAAUUACUUUGAUUUUCGUUCAUAUAUAUAUAUAUAUAUAUAUAACUAGGCUGGAAUACUAUUAAUAGCACCAAGCUAUUGGUGCUAUUAGUUUUUUAGCCACGGGAUUGAGAAAUUUGUGGUUAGGAUGAUGUGGGCCCCCUAGGGUUGAGUGGGUGGUUGGUUGAUAGUAUAAUGUAACGGGUAAAAAUAAUUAAAGGGUUAAAUCUAACGGUGAAAAACUCGAUAGCACCAAGCUCUUGGUGCUAUUGAUAGUAUCCAAGUCCCGACUCUAUAUAUAUAUAUAUAUAUAUAUAUAUACUAUACAUAUAUAUAUAUAAUAUAAUAUAUAUAAUAGCUAGGUUGGUAUACUAUCGGUAGCACGAAGGCCUCCGUGCUACCAAGUUAUUUUCAAUGAUACCGCUUCUAAAUCGACGAUCGGCUCUGUUAGACUUGAUCUACACUAUUGAAAGUAUUUGGAAACUAAAUUUCAUACUUUUUCGGUAUCAUUUACCUAUCAAACAAGUAGUCUAAAAAUGAACGGCUGAAAAUAAAAAUCUCAUAAAAAAUAAUGAUAGAAGACUUGAAUUUAAGAUCAGAGAUACUGAUCUUACUCUAAAUAGUAAAAAGAAUUUUCUAUAAAAAUUUUAUCAGAUUUGCAUUAUUUUACAUCGUUAAAUUUACAAAUGCAUCACAUCUACCAUUAAGUCAAUUUUGAGACCUUUUGAUUACUAGCCAAAUGAUGUCGAAAAAUUAUGAAAUUUAGUUUCCAAAUAUUUUUAAUAGUGUAGAUCAAGUCUAACACAGCCGAUUGUCGAUUUGGAAGCCGCAUCAUUGAAAACAACUUGGUUGCACGGAAGCCUUCAUGCUACCAAUAGUAUACCAGCCUAGCUCUAUAUAUAUAAUAUAUUAUAGAAUAUAUAUAUAGGAGUAGGACACUGUGCUAUUAGGAGCACAGCAGUCUUGUGCUCAAAGUUUAACGCACAGCAGCCCUUGCCCACUCUUUGUUUAUACUUAUGGUUAUCCUUUUAAAUUCUUUUUAAGAAAUUUCUUCUUCUUUUUUUACCCUGUAUUUUUCUACAUUUUUCAUUCUUUUUACUCUACUAUCUCCUACUCCCUUGUUUUUCUUCUAUAUAUAUAUAUUAUAUGAUAUAUAUUAUAUGUAUAUGUAUAUAUAUAUAUGUAUAUGUAUAUAUAUAUAUGUGUAUAUAUAUAUAUAUAUAUAUAUAUUAUAUAUGUAUAUGUAUAUAUAUAUAUGUAUAUAUAUAUAUGUAUAUGAUAUAUAUAUAUAUGUAUAUGUAUAUAUAUGUAUAUAUAUAUAUAUAUAAUAUGUAUAUAUAUAUAUAUAUAUAUAUAUAUAUAUUAAGUCGCGCUAGGUAUGCUUAUGGAAGUACGGAGCCUCCGUGCUUCCACUUUGUUUUCGAUGUUCGGACUUUCGAAUCGACGAUCGGCUCCGUUAGACUUUAUCUAGAAUAUUUGAAGUAUCUAGAAAAUAAAUUUGCGAUUUUUCGAUAUCGUGCUAUGCAUCGAUGUGUCGCUAAAAUUCAACGGCUGAAAAUAAAAAUCUUACAAAAUAUGAUGAUAUGACAUUAAAAUUUUAGAUCAAAGUUAUUGAUCUUGUUUUAUAUGGUAUAAAGAAGUUUCUAUCAAAAUUUCAUGUGAUUUGGAUAUUUCUACACCGUUAAACUUGCAACCGGCUCACCACGGCCGUUAAAAUUAUUGAUUUUGAGCCCCUUCGAUCACUAGGCAAAUGAUAUCGAAAAAUCGCAAAAUUUAUUUUCUAGGUACUUCAAAUACUCUAGAUCAACUCUAACGGAGCCGAUCGUCGAUUCGAAAGUCCGAACAUUGAAAACAAUUUGGAAGCACGGAGGCCUCCGUGCUUCCAUAAGCAGACCAGCACAACUCUAUAUAUAUAUAUAUAUAUAUAUACCAAAAUGCAUAUGUUUCUAUAUGUAUAAAGAGAAACAAAGAAGGUACCAGGAUUGUUUCCAUAUGUAUAUGUUAGGAGGUGAACUCCUAUCUGACCCUCUACUAUGUAUUUGAUAUUGUACUUUCUUCAUCACUACCGUGUGAACUUAAGGUUGCUAUCUUAUGGGUUUUUCUAUGAUAUUCUUUUGUUUUCUUUAUUGUACUAUUCUUCCUUUCAUUCUCUUCAAUUCUUUUUUUACUAUAUAUGUGGCGAAAUACUGGUGGUGUAUAUAUUCUUUACCUAUUCUAUAACUGUUCAAAGUCAAGAUGAUAGGAGUAAACAAAAAGAUCCAAAAUGUAUAGUUUGCUACUCUGCUUUUACUUCUCUCCUAUUUUUUUCAUAUUCUUAAGCUGACUUUCUCCAAAAAAUAAUGAUCUAUUAGGCAUAUCUCUCCUCUUACUUGCCUUUUCUCCUAAGCUUUUCCUGUAUCCUUUACACACAAUUAUGUAUAUUUUUUAUUAUAUUUGGGAGGGCAAAAUGUGGAGAGGAGGAGGCGAAGCAAUGGAAUCACGGGCGAUCGACACGUAUCCGAUACCAAAGUCUCGAUUCAUGUCUUGCUAUUUUAUCGAUUGAUUAUUGAUUUGCUCAUUCUUUAGACACUGUUUGCCUUAGUUUUUUAAAUUACAGCUUCUUUGAAUUUCUCUAUUCGUGAUGACUACGGACUGAUUGUUUCUCACCCUGUUUGGUGUUUAGGAUUUGGUCUGUAUACAAUGCUGAAAUUACUGCUUUCUACUCCGCAUUUUCUAAGAUGAUGGCAAGAGAGGUUUAAACAAAAAGCUUGCUGCUACGGGAAUACUACUAUAUUUUCCUACCUUUGUUGUUGCCAGGUCUUGCCUUUUCAUUUGCACACUUUGUCUUCCUGCCCUUAUCAAUUCUUUUCCUACUCUCUUUGCAACUACACAGACGAUGAUGGGAAUAGCAAUAAAAAUGAUAAAAAAAACAUAGUACUUUCAUUCCAGUUUCAACUGUAGAUUAUUCUAUACUUUGGUUUGUUGACAAAUAUUUAACGGACAGGCCAAUGCAAAAACACAAGCAUGUAUGCUGUCAUUUCUUCUUUUUUUUUUCUGUACUGUUUCUUUCGCCGCCUUACUUGACUGUUUCUUUUGCUGCCUUACUUGAUGGAGAUGCAUGGUGGAAAAACAUCAUUGCUCCCUUCCUUUUGCCUUAUUUGCUUAUGAACUGAUAAGAAUAUUUGCCUAGCACUCUCCGUGGCGACAAAAAUAUGUGAUGGUGAUCACCUACCUGAGUCUCUGAGCUCCUAUCUAGCUCUGCAUUGUUUUAUGGGUUUGUGAGUGAAUCUCUGAUGUAGACGACUAUAUAUCGUGGUGAAAGGGAAGCCAAGGGGUUGGCGGUGCAAAAUAAAAGCACAUAUGCUAUUUAAAACUUCCAACCGAUGUUUUCUUAUACAUUAUUAUUUCGGCGGCUUUCUUCUGUUCCUCUAGCGGUGCUUUUUGUUUUUUUUUUUUAUAUAACAUCUCUUUAUAUUGAUUCUUCCUGAAUUUCAUUCUUGCUACUCUAUUUGCUAUGAAUAGAGUAUACAUUGGAUUUUUUCUAAUUUGGUUGCAUGUGAGGUUUGUUUGGAACUUCACAAUGAAACUUUAUAUGGCAAAAGACUAUUCGUGCCUUUUAUUGAAUUUCGUCGAUUUUGGGGGUGUUGCUGCUGCAAUGUUUUACAGAGUUUAUCUUUCGGUGUCGCUUUUCCCUUCUCUUUUUUAUCAUGUCUUCUCCUGUUAUUUUUACCUACUUUCUGUCUCUUGCUAACUAUAUUGUACUCAGAUAAAUACAAAUCCUGUUGGUAUUUGCGUUGGCAAUUCUAUUAAUUUUAACACUUUUGACGGUUGGAUUUAAUUGUAAUGAAAUCUAGAGACUAGGGACUUGGUUGCAAAAAAAAGUCAGUAAUCAAAUUUGAAAAAUAGUGCAAAGGUUGAGGACCAAUGUUGUAAUUAACCCUACUACUAUAUGCUAACUAGAAUAGUCGACAAUAGAAUAUAAGUAAUUUCUACCGAUGGUACUAUGAUAUACCAUGCGGGUUAUUAAAAAAAAGAACAAUUGUGUAGUUUGUGAAUCAUUUUGUGGGGGCAAUUUUACAAAAAGAAUAAGUAAUAUAUAUAGGAAUCACAGUUCAUUUCUUUUCUUUUUUUUUUACCCGGUUUUCUUUGUUCGUCUCUCUGCUCAUUAUGAAUGUAACGUUUUUUUUUCUAUUGUUUGCAUUUGAGCUUAGCUUAGAAUUGAAUGAUUAAAUUAUGCAUGCAGCAAGUUGUUGUGCAAAUAAAAGUCAGAUAAUAUCCCAAAUUUAUUGGUGCAUAAUAAUAAGAGUAGUGAUGUCAACGGAUCGGGUUUGGAUCGGAUUUUCAAAAAUCCGAACCCAAACCUGAAAACCAAAUUAAAACCCGAACAUAGACCCGAACAUUGCGAGUUUUAAAAAUUCAUACCUAUAUCCGUAUCCCACCAAAAAUUCGAAAUCCGAACCCGAACCCAAACUCUGCAGGUUUUAAAAAUCCAUACCGUUGGAUGAAAGGGAUAAAAAAUUACUAAAUAUUUAUAUUAUAUAUAUGAAUAAAAAUAAAUUAUGUAUAUAUAUAAUUUAUUUGGGUCGAGUUCGGGUUCGGGUCGGGUAAAUACAAAAUCCAUACCCGUAUCCAUUUCCGUCGGAUUUAAUUUUCUAUACUUAUAACCGAAUUCAUACCCGUUUAGCUCGGGUAAAUCCGCCCCGUUCGGGUUCGGGUUCGGAUAAUAUUUGGGGCAUCCAUACCCAUUGACAUCCCUAAAUAAGAGAACCCAUAAGGUUUAUGAGGGUUGUAAACAAUUAGAAUGUGAAAUUAUUUCUGUUUACUGAAAUAGUAACAAAUCUACCCAUUUUGAUUGAUAAUAAGGAAGUAGUUUAGUUGAUUACAUGGUAAUUUCUUAGUAGGUGUUUGCAGUGGAUAACAUCUCAGUAUAUCAAACUUGCGAGAUCUAUCAUCAUAUUCUUUUGUUGGGAUUAAAUGGACAUAACGACAGUGCAUAGAGAAAUUAGAAAGAAACGGAAGAUUAUUCUCGAUCACCGAAUAAUAGGCAGGAACUCCUAAUUACCGAGCACAUAAAUAGUGGUGUUCAUGAAGUACCCUGUAACUACAAUAGCGAUUACAGUGGAACAGCUAGCAGAGGUGGUUAUUUUAUAGUAUCUAGGGUGCCAACAGAAAUAAAUGGAGCAGGCACUUCUCGGGUUGCAACUCAACGUGUUGAGCAAUUUUAUUUAGGAUUACCGAAAUAUCACCUCCGCCAACGUAAUUGCGCCGCUGCUGCUGAGGGUGCGAUAGAGGUGAGGGCGACGGCAGUGUGAUUGUUGUGGCGGAGGGCGCAGCAGAGCCACCACACGAGGGACGAGGAGGUUUGGUUUGACGAGGAAUGGGGGAGGGUGAUGGAGUGGGGAAAUUAGGGGUUCGAGGGUGACAUGUCGUCUCCAACACGGUAAGUUCUUAGAUACUCUUGCUCUAAUAUCAUACAGCUAAUUACUCUAAAAAUAUUUAGCUAUUAGAUAAUGAUACUUUACUCUUCAAGCAUGAUUCAUGAAUAUCAGAUGCGACGAAUAAAUUCUCACCAGAGUAAUCUUCUAGCCUUACAUUGUUACUUUUGAUUAGAUAAAUUCUCACCGGUUUUGUAAGUUGAGAAUUAACUCAUCCAACAUAGGUUAACGCUUCAAAUCUUCAAUGUUUGAGUUGCAUAGAGCUCUAUAUAUCAAUCCCUUUGUCUUUUGUAGUUGGAAUCUGCAGAGUGCUUACAUUGAUGGUUGUCCUUAUUCAUCUCAUUGUUUUUCCAUCAACUUUUUUUUUUUUUUGGGUGUCAUCCAUCUUUAGUUCUAAAUUACGUAGGUUUCAUAUUUUAAAUCUUGCUAAUCAUUGUUUUACUACUUUGCAACAUACUUUUUUCUGUAUAAACCCUUUUUGUCUUUCCUUUGAUAUGAAUAUUUCAGUUAUAAUAUAAUUGUAUUUUGUUUGUCAUAUGCUUAUCUUUGUUGGUUGAUUGCUAUGUUUAAGACUAUUAAGUUAUUCAUUUGAAUUCAUGCAUGCCAUUGUAAUUUUUUCUCUUUCUUCAUCUGACAAAUUCAUAAUAGUUUGAGUAAUGCAUUUUGGUAAGCAUUAAUUUCAGUGAUAAUGCCAUGACUUGCUACCGCUCUAUAGGGUACAACUCAAGUAAAUAUUCUUCAAUGUUCUUACUGAGGAUUGAGACACAGUUUGUUGACUUAAACUAACAGAAGGAACUAUUGCUGAAUUCCUCCCUCCAAUGUUCUGCUGCCUUUUUGGUUGGUAAUUGUUGUCACUGUUUGUUUCCUGUUUAGCUCGAAGUUGACUGUUUAAAAGGAUAGGUUUAUGCACUUUGGAAAUGAUCAUGUAUUAGGCUUCCACAAUGACUAGGCUUCAGCAAUUAAUUCAAGUUGUUGUCUCGUCGUGGUGUUGUUUUGUGAAAAUUGGGUGCUUAUAUGUGAGUAAAUGGCGUAGAUUAAAAUUUAAAUUUCUUCAACUGUUUGCGUGCACCAAUAGCUGAAAUCUGAAACUUCUACUAUUGCUUCUGCUAUUACUUUUUUUUUUAGCUCUUUAUUAUUGCGAUUAUUUUUCUUAAUCUGCGCCAAAUAAACAAAAUUAGUAUUGUUAUCCAUACUUUUUCCUUUUUUCCUAAAUAGAUUGGGUUGGCUAUCUAAACUGAUUUUUUUAUUUUACUUAAAAUAUUUUUAUAAAAAAAUAUAAUUUCAUUUCAUUCUUUAAUUUAUCUUUAAUUUUUAAUUAUUCAAUAUAAAGAUAAAUAAUAUUUAAAAAUAUUAAUGUAUAAUAAAAAAAAUAAUAAUAUUAAUAAUUUUAAUAAUUUACUGUUAUACUGGCUUUUCGCCGCAUCGCGCGGGGCCGUGCGCCCCUUAACUAGUAAACUAAUAAAAGGCUAUAAUAUGGAUAAUUUAUUCCUUCGCACUUUUAUGUGCAGUGGUUCUCUUUCUAAACGACUUUAUUUGAGGUACGAGUUGGCGUUUGCCUUGGUAGGCAUCAGAUUCCACCAUUUCCAGUUUUUACUAAUGUGUGUACAAAAUAAUAUAUACACGUACAGUACUCUUUUCUAUUGAAACCGCGUAGCAAUUCUUGAACCACACAAUUUAAAUCGUGAUGUGGACACAAUCCGGUAGUGAAAAUAGUAAAAAGUUUUGUCCGAAUACAUGAGCAUCUUAUUUAAUAUAUUCUUUUGAUUUAUCUAAAAAGUAUAUAAUAUUUACUGGAUAAGGUGUGAAACCAAAUGUCUAGACUAAAAUAUCAUAUUCGAUCAUUAAGUCAUUUUUUAAAUAACAUAAAUUAUUUUAUUAAUAAAAUAUAUUUUUCUAUCAAAUAAUAAAUUCAUAAGAAAGUUUUCAAUCCAAAUAAAUUAUUUUGGCAUUCAAAAAAGGCCUUCGAUAACAUUUAUAUUAAAGCCUUUAAUUAGGUCAGUCAAAAAUUACUUGUCAAGUCUUAUAUAUAAAAAACUUAGACAUUUAUUUGUAUACAUGCACACAUAAAUAUGUAAAUACAUAUGUACAUAUCUGUAAUAAUUUUUAUUUGCAUCCAACAGUAAAACGAAGGUAAACAUGUUUAUAAAUGUCGGACUAUGAAUUAUUUUGAUUCUACUGUCUAAUUUUUAAAAUUUCAAUAUUAUUACUUAACUUUUUAUUUAUUUGAUUUGAGCUAGUUGAUAACACUUUUAUCUUAACAUUUGCAUGCCUUAUUUAUCUUUAUUUGCUUGAUUAGCACAUUUUAAUUAUAUAAUUUAUGUGACUAUAAUUUUAUUAAAACAAGUUAUAAACCAAAAUUUUUUAUUGGAAGAACCAUUUAAAUGAAACAAAUUAAAAAGUUAUUAUCAAGAUUUAAAUUUUAAAAGAUUGAAUACUCUUGAUCAAAAUUUACAUGUUUACUUGAAAUAAAAUAUAUUCAUGAACAUUAGUAAUGUCAUAUAUAAUCGUGUCCUCCGUGAUCAAGCCAUUUUUUGAGUUUCGAACAACUCAAUUGAUCGAGUUAACCUAGUUUGACCGAGUUUGACUUCAAAUCUAGGGCAACCGUACGUGUGCCCUUAUCAAAUUUGGUUGAAAUCUAUGCCGAUUUCACGUCGACUCUUAAUGGUCAAAUCGAAAGUGGGAGAGAAACCGCGUAGUAAGCCUAAAAUUGAUAUUAAAUGAUAAUAAUAAUAAAUUCUCAGCUCAUGAUAAAUCACCUUUUAAAGCCAAUAUAUUUGCAAGAAAUCCAUAUUUAUUAAAGUUUCAACCCUAAAGUAACAUCUAUAAAUCUAGCUAGCAAACUCUUUAUUAAUUACAUACUUUUACCACAUAUGUAUUUUCCAAAGUCCACGUACUUCUCAAACAUAUAUAUGUAGCGUAGGAGUAGAAAAUAAGCAUAUUUCACCAUCUCAAUCACUGUGAUAAGGGAAAAGACGUAGAAAAAAGUUUGAGCAUCCGUUUGGUUCGGAAUUAAGGAGUGGAAUAACUUCUUAACCCCGAAAUUAUUUCCAAACACCCAAUUUGGAGGGUGGGGUUAGCUAACCCCACCACAAAUGGGCUAUCUUGGGAUAGCGUAUUUAGGGUGGGGUAGCUAACCCCACUCCACCUCACUACUCCAACCAAACAAAAUAUUAUUUUAUCCACUAUCCUUCUUAUCUCAUCUAUUCAAACUAAACAUUAUUUUACCUAUACCUGGAUUAAACUCAAUUCUCAACCAAACAUAAAAUUACUCUAACCCCUCAAUUCUGAACUUAACUCUAUAUCGGGAAUAACAAGUUUUUACUUAACCCCGAAACAAACGGUGGCUCAGAGUUUAUUCCAAUACCUUUUUUGCGCUUCCCUAUUGCCGGACAUAUAGCUGGUUUCUGCAGAUCUCUUUAAUAGGUACGAGCCCCUCUUCGUGGUUGCCCCUUCCUGGGUAUUGGGUUCGCUGGCGAUCCGAUGUCAUCAGCGCGUGGAAAUCGGUUGUCCGCGGCUUCUCUAAUUGGCUCGUUUGUUGAUGCACGCCUCUCGUGAUCUUGGUUGAUCCUUCCUCGGUUCGCCUGCGAUCCAACAACAUCGACGCUGGGACGAAGUCUAUGAUCUUGGUUCAUCCGUGAUGUGACGUCUGCAUCUUGACCUCCGUUCUUUGCGCUGUCGUCUUUCUUGUGAGCUUUCUUUAUCGGAGUAGAGGAGGGCAUGUAGUCUGCUGCUGUGCUGCUGAUGGGAUAAUCCGGAUCAGCUUUCGCCUCUUGUUUGACCUUUUCACUCUUUUUGUCAGCUUCUUCUCUUGCAGUAUCAAACUUUCCAGGUUCCUGAGGUGAGGGCUUAUUAUCACCUGCUGCGCCUGGUGUUUUCACUCCAUUCAUCGCCGAGCUCGGAGGUCCGUUCAUUGCCGGGCUUGGAAGUUGUCCCGAAGCUGGCGGCACUUGCACGGUGUGGCUGCUUGGCGGCUUGGCCUCCGGUUGGCUGGCAGGAGUUCCAUCAUCAGCGUCAUCACCCCCACAACAGAGGAACUUCAGACACAUACUAGUGUAAUACCUCUCUCUCUCUCUCUCUCUCUCUCUCUACCCAAGUUAAGGGAGUUUUGAGGUUAGUAUUAUGAUAUUAAAGCGUUUAAUUAUGGAUAAGAACGGGUGGCAUAUAUGCACCAUAAUGCUUUGCGUGGAAUCUAAUUCUGCGUUAGCUUCGUCUUAAAGCUGGUAAACCGCGUUGAAAGUCAGUCUCCCAUUAAUGAGAUGCCCUAAUGAUUGAGUCAUAAAGCCAAUGAUUAUUAUUUGAUUACAUAUUUACUCGGUUGGUAGGGCUGUCAAUAAGCUCAUGUUGGCUGUCAAUAAGCUAAACAUGAGCGAGCUGGCCAAACCUAGUACGAGCCAACUCAUUAAAAUAUCGAGUCAAAAAAUUUAAAUGUGUAUAAGCAGUCCGUGGAUUUGAACUCAUAAUCGUUCGUUAAUAAACGAGGUGAACGCGAGUUGACUCACAAAUAACAAGUUAAAAAAGAUUAGAAAAAAAAUAUAUAUAGAAAAUAAACUUCUGAAAUUUUAUCUAUUAAAUUUUGAUCAGACGGUUGAAAUUUUAUAUAUAAUGAAUCUUUUUAUAAUUGAGUUAGGCUUUAUAUCUAGGUUGGACUAAAAAUUAAAUAAUAAAAAUAUGUAUUAUAUAUAUAUAAUAAUUAAGUUAUAUAAAUAUAAAAUAUAUGUAUUUGUGUUGUUACCAACUCGAACACAAGCGAGCUAACUCUAGCUCGUGUUAGGCUCGUUUAUUAAACGAGCUGAAAAAUUCACCUCAUAUUCGGCUUGUUUACUACACGAACGAUUCAUUCUCAAACUCUUUUCGAACAGAACAUGACUUGGCUCGGGAAUAGCGAGCUGAAUUACUACCCCUAACGGUAGGGGUUGGGAAUAAUUAAGAGACAAAAAUUAGGCCGAUUUACCAAAUUAGCUAUUUGAGGAAAAAGUUUAUAAUGCACCUGUUAUGGUGCUGAUAUAGCAUUCUCAAUUAAUCAGAUUGUUUUUCUUAAUUAGUUCAUCCAUUCCAUGAUUAUUAGUAAAAUAUUUUUAUUAUAUUUUUCUCUAAAAAAUUGAUAUGGUAUAAUUAAUUACAUAGUAGACUUCCUCCUAUUUGAAAAUGUGGGAUCGACUUUGAGGUAGAAAUAUAGGGGCAAAUUGGGAAGGCAUUUGAAAUUUAUAUUUUUUAAAAAUUAUUAUCUAAUUCAAAAUAUUUUUUAGACUCAUUAACUCAAAAGUAACAACUUUUAUAAAAAUAAAAAAUAUAUAAUCUUAACUCAAAAUAUAUANNNNNNNNNNNNNNNNNNNNNNNNNCACUCGCCUCUGCCUGCUCAGGCAUCUCGGGAGAUCUAGCACGAUCCUGCGCCAACUGCGCACGCUCCCGCAACGACGGUCGGCCUCGGCGACGAUACAUAGCUGAAAAGAACAAAUCGGGGUCAGAUACAACAAAACACUCUCGACCCAAUCAAACGAAAGUCUAGAAGGCAGCCCCUGUUUCUCCUCGAAAUUAUGUCGUCUGCAGCCAACAUAAUUUCUCAGGCCAAAACAGAAACUCCUUCAGUCACUCACUCUACUCCAAGAGGAAUUAAAACAUAUAAUCAUUGACUUUCGCAAUAAAAUUACGCCUCUCACGUCUUGCUUCCCUAAGGUUUGCCAAACUUAGGUUUCCUAGGUCCCAACGACCUACAGCAAAGCUCUGAUACCAACUUAAUCUGUCACGCCCCGGACUACACGUUCCCCGGCCACGCCGACAAAUCCGCCGUAUACAAAGAAAUUUUCCCUGUAUACGAAGCGAUAGCUGUACCUGUAAAUCAAACACUACUACGAACAGUAGUAGAGAGCUGCUAGAGAAAAACUGAAGCUAAAUAAAACAGAGUUUCAUAUACAUAGUUCAGAUCCAAAAUACAGAGCUACUCGCACUGGCGAGUUAAGUCACUAUGUACAUAAUCUCGAAACCAAACCUCUACCUGCAGUAGGGCACCUCUAGCUCAGCACGUCGGGUAGGGCUCUAACUCGCGACGCCCUUGCCUCGAUCCUGGUCCGCAGUCGGUGCAGCAGCCGGAACCUGUGGCUCUGCAAAAACAUAGGUAACAACUGGGCGUGAGAACUACUGUAAAAACAAGUAGUUCUCAGUGGGUACCGCCCAAAACAACAUCGGUCACCUACUAAGUCUACAGAAGGGAGCAAGGAUAGAAGGAAAGCAGGAAGCAUACUCUACCACUAUCAUCCACUACACUAUCAUGCUCUACACUAACCAAUUGUAGGAAAUAUCAAAUCUGAUCCAAUCCAAUCGGGACUGCAAACAUACCCGUCCCCGGGACUGUGAAUACACCCGUCCCUGCCCCGUUGCGACUAUCCAGCUCAAUCCACACUAACUGGUCCGUGGAGAGCAAGUCCAACUGGCAUGAGCGACACCAACGCAAAAGCACAAGCCCAACUCCGGAGUGGCACUCGUGGGCGCUACCCAACCGAGUAUGCAGCGUAUCUCUGUCGAGCUCAAUCAGGCUCCAACUAGCCAAAGUCAAGUAAUCGACUCAAAUUGAUCUAACAAUCACUCAGGUAACGUGCCCUCGGCACAAUCUGACGCCAAAAAGGCGAUACGGGUUCACCGUCAACUCUGACGGCACCCAACAGUCCGAAACGACCUGAUCGACCCUGUAAAAAUCCACUCGGCGAACCAGCACGAGUGUAAAUACAUUCUCAACUACCUGGAGUACUCGUCUCGAAGAAACUGCGACAGUACAAUUUUCUAACGGCUUCUAGAGCUAAAUCAGGUAGUUAAAACUGGUGACAGGUCCAAAUCGCAGGUUUUCUCCUAAUUCAAUUUCCAAGUCCAACAUGUAUAAACUAAUUAAUUAUAAAGCAUGCUCAAAAUUCAGUUCUCACAUUCAAGCACAUAAUCCAUGGAUUUGAGCUAAACUAAAUUACCAAAAAUUCAGAUCUAUACAUGUCGACGAUUAUGAACUUAGGAGUCGAAACCGAUGUAACCCACCUCAAGUGCAAUUUCCUGGCAGCGAACUCAGCCUCGGCCACCCGCGAUGCUGCUGGAUUCCUCAGGGACCACCUAGACCGGUCGCCGAGCUAAAACGACCAAAACAUCACAAAUCAGCCUAAGUUCACAGCAGCUGAAAGAGACCAAGUUUCGACCAAGCUAACCUCGUCCAAAAAUUGCAAGUGAGGGCUCCGUGGAAUCCUCUCGCAGUCUAGAAUCCAAUGAACCAAGUUUCGUCGCGAUCCGACGCUCCUACGCGGAGAACGAGCCGAAAUACUAACAGUCGACGGUAGAUUCUGCGAAAACAGCACUUAAGCUCACAUCAACGAUACCCGAAGUACUCGGAGCAAUUGCGACCAAAAUGCUCACCUCAACAGCGACAACCCUCGGCGCGAUGUCCAGGACAGCGAAGACGCACCCUCGCCCGGCCUCCUCGCAAUGCCCCGGCAACAAACGCUCGCUCGAACGGCUCGCGGCGCGACGUCGGCGAAUCCCCGGCUCAACCGUGCUCCACCUCCACCAAGCCUAGAGAGAGAGAGAAAGAAGAAAGCACAAAAGCCUUCUCUCUCUUCCUCUGUUCGGUUUCCAACUGAUAUAGAGAGGAAGGGAAGGAAUCGUUACAAACGAGGUAGAAAAUUACGGAUUUAGCCCUUACCAACUCCCUUGUACCGGUACACGGAUUGCUGUACCGGUACAAGGCCAAACCCGAGAGCAACUGAGUUCUGUCGCUCGCUCUGUACCGGUACAAAUGGACCCUUGUACCGGUACAACAAGCGACUUCCCAUGAAGGUUGUACCGGUACAGCACAAACCUUGUACCGGUACAGCAGAGUAAAAAUCCUGCAAUUUCGCAGAUUUUCACACAGAAUGCUGCCCUCGCGUCGCACGGAGUCCGUCUCGCGUCUAUUUGACGCCAACGCGACUCGGGCUUGUCUCGACACUCUCCAGAGUUGUCGACAAGUCCCCACUGACAGAAACCGGGGUCUCACAGAAAGAAAGUGAAAAGUUUUUUUAGAGGUGAGGUAUUUUUGUUGUUGUUGUUGUUAUUAAUUCGUUAUCUGUAUUUUUGUAUCUGUGUAAUACUUAAAUUUUUUUUAAACUUAUCUAAAUAUUUUUUUUAUUUUUUUAAUGUUUCUUUUUAGUUUUUU